RNAcentral lists this long non-coding RNA (75780 nucleotides) under Citrus maxima (pomelo). Its description in RNAcentral is "long non-coding RNA (CMAX_LNC001275)". The record is from RNAcentral. Lineage: Eukaryota; Viridiplantae; Streptophyta; Magnoliopsida; Sapindales; Rutaceae.
UAGACCUUCAAUGAUUGCUUUGACAACCCUAAUCUCCUCAAAAGUGUCUGAUACACACACCCAUAUAACUUUUUCAAAAUUUCUUUUCACCUCAUCAUUAUUAUAGGCUAGUUGUGCAAGAGUGGUUUUACCUAUACCCCCUAACCCAACUAGUGAGAUGACAUGAAGGCCUUUUUGUUGUUCACUACUUUCACACAACAACUUGCUUAAGAGCUCAUUUUUCUCAUCAACUCUACCGCAAACCUCUCCCUCAUCAAUCAAGGAGGUGGUUCGCACUCGCUCUGGUUUCUUAACAUUGUUGCUCACAUUCUCAACAAAUUUAAACGUAUCUUUUUGGGAGGCAAUAUCAUCUAGCUUUCCAUUGAUUUCCCUAAUCUUGACGGCAAUGUCAUGACGAAGACUAAGUUGUUUGAAACUACCAAAGCAGUUUGAUACAGCACAAAAGAAGGAGCGUACCUUCUUCUUAUGAGGAGCAAGAGCAAGAGCAUUGUCAUCAUCAACGCCCUCAAUCUGCAAUUUGAGCCUUGCAGUGGUCCACUCCUCCAACACGUCUUCCAUGUCGUAAGAUGCGUCUUUGAGCUGAUCCAGCCAAAAAGUAACAGCAUUGUCGCGCUGCAUUUGCCUUUUCUCUGCAUCUUCCAGCACAGCUCGAAUGGCUCGAAGAUUGCUGGUAAGCUUUUUCACUUCUUCUCGGACACCAGUCACAAGCCUCACGUGUUGUUUCACUUCAUCAGCCGCAACGGAGAUCAGCUGCUCCAGGAGAGAGGAAACGAUCGCAUCAACCAUUCUGACAAAGAAAACGAGAAUUUUGAUGAGUUAUUAGAUGUGCUUUUGUUGCGAAGAUAUGAAAGAAAAGGAGUUAUUGCGUUCUUUUAUACUGCAUAGAAAAAGCUUAUGCUUAUCCCCACCCCACACGUCAAUGAUUGUAGAAUGUUUAUUUUCCCUGAUUCUACUCCACUAGUUGUGAUGCGUAAUUAUAAAUAUUCUCAAGUUAUGUAUGAAAAUAGCACAAAUUUGGAUCUAGUAAUGAUUUUUAUGUACUUUUUCAUCAUCUUCUAAAAUACCAUCUCUGCAUGUGCACGAAAUAUGGAAUUGGGUGAAAAAAGUUAUGCUUAUCCCCACCCACACGUUAGUAAUUGUAGUAGCAUCUUUAAUUUCCAUGAUUCUACUCCACGGACGAACACAUUUUUUGUAGUAACAUCUUUAAAUUCCCACACGUUAGGAAUUUGGCACAUAUCUCAAACUCGUCGCAUCUUUAACGUAUGAAGUUGAUGAAUAAAUUCUUUUCUCAUGUCAAUUUAAAACUCCGAGAUUAUGUGCCAAAUUCCUAACGUGUGGGAAUUUUACCUCCUAAGUAAUCCGGCCCACUACCAAGUGCCAACUUUUUCUCUGUCGAGUUAAUGAUGUUGUUUUGUUUUCCUUGUUUUAAUUAAUGUUGCCGAGAGAAACAGAUCGAUGCAAAUGGCUAGCCAGGUUUUGCAGAAACCGUGAAUGGUCUUGCAUGUGACAUAAAGCUUAAUCAUGUAUAUAUGUGUGUUGACACUUGCCAGUUCAUUUUUGUUAUAAAGAUUAUUGAUACUCAUAAAUGUACUACUUACAAAUCAUAAAUUUUGAGUUUGACACUUUAGUUUCAUUUUGUAAUCCCUACACUCUUUAAAUAUUUGUAACAAUAUAUUUCAAACUUUAACUCAGACGUAAUGAAUGAAGGGGGAUCCUCUUCUUAUAUAAAUUUUUAUUUUUUAACGUUCAAGUUACAUUUGAUUACGUGUACUUAUUAUCUAGUUUUGACUAUCUAAUUACAUUUGAUUACGUGUACUUAUUAUAUAAUUUUUUUUUGAAAUGAUGGAUCUGGUGAGAUUUUUUACAUCUUGGAUCAGUAGGUCAAGAACAGGCAGGGCAGGGCCUUCUCUGAAGUCAAUCUUGUGAGCAACACCAGCUUUUUGGAUAAUUGGCAGCCCCAAUUCAUAAUUUUCUCUAUUGAUGUCCAUGGCCAAAAUCUGCAACCGAAGCUUAUUCUACUCUUAUUAAUCGAGAGAUAAUUUUACCUCUAACUAAUUUAAUUGGGAGGAAAAUCGAGAGAGAUAUCCACUUUGUCCUUAUUAAUUGAGAGAUAAUUUUACCCUUACCCAAUUUAAUUGGAAAGAAAAUCGAAUUCCAACAAUAACUAGGACUCGAAUCCAUGCACUUAAGCUAACUUUAUGCUUUUGGACGCAUGGUUAUAAUGUUCUUUAUUUAAAUCCUAACAAAUGGUGGGACUUGAACUUGUGCCUACAAACAUUGAGUGCUUAGGGGCUGCAAAAUUUCAUAACUUAAUUUUAGUUGAUGUGGCAUGUGCCCUAUCACAUCAAUGUAGAUAAUAAUAAUUAAUACAUUAACAAAAUGAAAAAUAUUAGUUUACAAAAUACAAAUCCAAAUUUUUUGUGUGAGAGGGGAUUUAAAAGGGAGAGACUAAACAAAUGUGGUGAAAAACGACAUGUAUUACUACAACUGAAAAUACGAAGUCUAGGCAAUUGAAAACAUCGGGUUUUUUAUUUAAAUAUCCCCAAUUUGUCCUUAAAUACCAAAUUUAUACCCUAUUAUAUACAUAUACCUCACGAAGAUAGGGAAAGUAAAAAAUAACCUAAAAAAAUCAGGAAUCCGCACAUUUCUUCCUCUUAGUUCAGAAAGAUGUCGAGUACGAAGUCGGGUAAGUCGAGAAUUUAGUCGAGCAAGAAUUGGAGAUAAGUAAGUCAAUUAGGAAGUUGAGUAAGCAUAUUAAGUGAGUCGAGUAUUAAGUGGUUGAGUAUUAAGUAAAAGUCAAGUAAAUUUUUUGAACAAGUCGAGUAAAAUUUAUGUAAUUUUUAAAGAGGUCGAGUAUUAAGUCGGGUAAGUACAUUGGGUCGAGUAUUAAUAUUUUUAAAGAAGUGAAGUCUGAUAAGUUGAGCAUUUAGUCGAGUAAGAAGUUAAGGCAAUUGAAUAAGUCGAGUAUCUAGUUGAGUACAAAGUCGGGUAAGUUGAGCAUUCAGUCGAAUAAGAAGUAAAGACAAUUGAAUAAGUCGAGUGUCUAGUCGAGUACGAAGUCGAGUAUGAAAUCUGGUAAGUUGAGCAUUCAGUCGAGUGAGAAGUGAAGGCAAUUGAAUAAGUCGAGUAUCUAGUCGAGAACGAAGUCGGGUAUGAAGUCUGGUAAGUUGAGCAUUUAGUCGAGUGAGAAGUGAAGACAAUUGAAUAAGUCGAGUAUCUAGUCGAGUACAAAGUCGGGUAUGAAGUAUGGUAAGUUGAGCAUUUAGUCGAGUAAGAAGUGAAGGCAAUUGAAUAAGUCGAAUAUCUAGUCGAGUACGAAGUCAGGUAUAAAGUAUGGUAAGUUGAGCAUUCAGUUGAGUAAGAAGUGAAAGUAAUUGAAUAAGUCGAGUAUCUAGUCGAGUAAUCAAACCAAUUUUCUCCAUAGAGUCUUCAAAGUCAACCUAAAAAUGAAAUGCAGGUGGAAAUGAAAAUUCUAUAAACUAAAUAAAAUAAAAUGCAAUUCUUGAGCUUGAGCUUGCUUUUACAUCAUCAUAAUAGUGAAUUUUGAUACAUCUUUACUUUUCUGUUCUUGUUUAUUCACAACAAGAUAUCAAUAAAAGAAGAUGGAAAUGAAAUUCUAUAAAAUAAAGCAAGUGAAUUACCAGAAGAACAUUUUAGCAAUCCUUUGGCUAAAAUUUUCAUUUUCUUAGCAUACUCUCCUGCCUGUGAAUUGCUAGUGUGGUUCUAACAUUUCCUCGAAUCCCUGGUGAACAUAAUUAAACUCGUAUGAAAUAAAACAAAGUGGGCUAAUGUACUACUAAAAACAAUUACACAAUUACUUUAAAGAAUUAGUGUCUGUUUGGUAUGGCUUAUUUAAGAGGCAUAAGUGCUUAUUUAAUCGUAUAAGCACUUUUUAAAAAUUUUUAUGGUGUUUGGUUAUUUUUUUUGCUUAAAUAAGGUAAUUUACCUCUACUAGCAAAAGUCCAAAAUUUGAGCUUUUGGGAGUAGAGGUUAUAGAGCUUUUCUAAAAAUAUAUAAUAUAAAAAAUAUCACACAGUUUAAUGGUUCAAAAGUGAUUUUUUUAUUGACAACCAAACACCCAAUGACUUUUUUGACCAAAAGCUUUAUUAGUAUAAGCUCUGCUGCUAUAAGCUCUACUGUUAUAAGCUCUAUUUAAUAAGCUGUACCAAACAGAGCCUUAAUGUCACAUAAAUUAUAUAUAAAAAAAUACGAUUAUCAUUAUACAAGAUAAAAUUGAUAAUUUAGUUUUCAACAUUACUGCAAAUGUAUCACAGACAUUUUGUCUCUCAGCGAGUUACACAUAACAAAUUUUCGUACAUUAAAAAAUAAAUUGCAUUGGGAUUUUCUAUGAUAUUGUAUGAAAUUUUACAAAAGAGCACAUAUUUUUUUAAAGUAAAUAAAUAUAGAAAUUUCAGCAGACUACACUUGUAUUUUUUUAUUAUUUAAUUUUUAGAAAACAAGUUCAACAGAUUUGAUCACUAGGAAGUUUUACAUAUUUAUACCAAGAUUGAUUCUAUAUAGAAUCUUAAUUCAAAAUAUAAUUAUUUUUAUUAAUUUCAUUGCAAGCAACAAUGAAGUAAAUCAGAGGAGGAGAAAUUACCAGCGAGUGAUAUCUUACGGCGACCAAUUGAUGUGGGGAAUGUGGGAUAUCUUAUGCCAGUCUUCUCCUUUCCCCUCUCUUAACCCCAAAUUGUCAAUGUCUGCAGUGUCGUUGUUUGAAGUAACAACAAAGUAAAAUACAGAGAAAUUACCGGUAGGUGAUAGUAAUUGCAACCAUUCGAGAAUUUACCACUCGAUGUGGGGAAUGUGAGAUAUCCUAUGCCAGUCUUCUCCUUUCCCCUCUCUAUAACGGUUUUCAAGAAGAGGACAUCCCUCAAUACUCAAUUCCUGCAGCGUCGUCGUCCGAAGAAGGUAAUCCGGCAGCACCUUUAAUUUGGGGCAAUACCAAAUCGUCAAGGAAGAAAGAUGUGGUAUGUCUGUUGUCCUGCGAUCUUCUAGAAUGGGCAGUUCUUCCAAAUUUUCACAAGCAUGAAUAACCAGUACCUGCAGUUCCGUCGUUUGAAGAAGGUAAUCCGGCAGCGCCUUUAAUUUGUUGCAAAAACCAACUUUUAAGGAAGAAAGAUGGGGCAUGAUGGAGAUGUUUUCCUUCCUCGUAAUCUUGUAAUUCCACUCUUCCAAUUCUUCCAAUGCUACAAUUUCGAGUGAUUUCAAUUUGGGGAAGGCAAUAACUGAUGAUGACGAUGAAGAUGAAGAUGGGCCAUCCUCACUGCUUUCUUCUAUUCCCAAAAACUCAUUACCCACUCUUUUUACACUUUUCAAGUGGAUGAUUACGAGUUUUUCCAGAGGUAAUUUUCCCAAAGGAGGCAAAUGCUCACAGUUAAAACACGAGGAAAGAUAUAAAUUCCUUAGAUUGGUUAGUGAAGUCAACCAUUUGGGAAAAAUGUUGCCUCGGUAGGAUUCAAUCUCUAAUUUCUCUAAAUUCACAGGCGGUUGUAAGGCUUCAAGAAGUUGUUUAUCUUUCUCAUUCUUCCUCCUCCCUUCUUCGCCUUCCCCAUCUACGACUCUACCAAACUCAAGAUGCAAACGAAGGAGGUUUUUCUUAUUGUCUCAUCUACAUGCGAUACAUUACUCAGCCCUUCUACUCUACAUUCACGAAGGAGUUGAAGAUUUUUCAGAGAUUCAAGCCUACACGUGCUGCCACCAUCAACACCUCCACCCACAACAAACUUUUCUAAUGUUCGAAGGCUGGUCAAUCUGGAAAUCCCUAUUGGCAUGUACUUCAACGAAUAAGUUUCACCAUUCAGUAAACUCCUCAUGUUCUUUAACUUCCCAAUCCUCGCAGGCAAUUCUCUAAGACUUGGGCACCGCCUAAUAUCUAGCUUUUGUAAAUUAUAUAAUUCACACAAAGUCUCAGGUAGUCUCUCUAUACAUAGUCCAGACAAAUUAAGAUAUUUUAAAUGUAUCAAUUUUCCAACAUUUUCUGGAAUUUCUGUAAUCAAAUUUGGAUCUGAACGCAAACGAAUGGACAAUUGGCUUAUAACUAAUGCCCUUAAACACGCCAAUUUUCUAAAUAACUCCCGAAGGAUGCUGCGAUUAAGACUCCUAUUGGAAUAACUUCUAUCAUAAAUUAAGAGGCUACGCAAUCUAUCAAAUUCAAAAAAGGACAUAGUAAAUGAAGCGCCUCCUUCAAACUUUAACCCUAAGUGACGGACUUUCUCACCAAAAGAGUUUAUGACUGAUUCCUUGGUACCAUUAAUUUCUAGCCACAAACAUUCUUGCCUACUUACAAAUUGAGCAAAAUCAUAUACUAUGUCAUGCAUCUUGCAACUCAUAAUAUCAUCAUCGUCAUAAUAUUUUUCAAACUCUUGAAAGAAAGAGCGUGUUGCUAAGAUGUUGAAAUACUCUUCUCCAAUCAUCUCCAUUUCUUCGUCUUCAUCUGCAUUAAGGUAACUUUGAGCCAUCCAUAGAUUAAUCAAUUCCCUUUUAUUCAUAUUGUAGUCUUUUGGAAAGACAGCACAAUAUGAGAAGCACCGUUUUACCAUAGAAUUAGAGGGCAAAUCGUUAUAACUCAACAACAAAGGAGCCAAAAUACCUUGCCCAAUCUCUUCUACUUUCCACAUUUCACUAUCUAAAAUUCUUUGCCACUCUUUUACUAUACUUUUAGAGCGCAAGAGAUUCCCUAUUACCUUUGCAGCAAGAGGCAGGCCUUUGCACUUACAUGCAAUUUUUCGCCAAAUUGGUUCUAAUUUUUCACAAUCCUCAAAGGACCUACGUAGAAAUGCUAUCUACUUAAACAGUAACCAACAUUCCCCUUCACCCAACUCCUUGACAGGGAUAAUAUUUAUUGAUCCCAACUGUAGUGCAACUGACUUAUCACGUGUGGUAAUCCGAAUUUUACUUUCAUGGUGGCCAUUCUUUAGACAAGAAAAGAAUGGGUCCCAUUCUUUAUAAUCUCCAUCCCACACAUCAUCUAAAACAAGAAAAAAUUUCUUCCCCGUAAUAUAUUCCUGAAUCUGUUUCAUAAGAGAUUCGAAUUCGCUUAAACCAGAAGCUGACACGCCUAGACCUUCAAUGAUUGCUUUGGCGACCCUAAUCUCCUCAAAAGUGUCUGAUACACACACCCAUAUAACUUUUUCAAAAUUUAUUUUCACCUCAUCAUUAUUAUAGGCCAGUUGUGCAAGAGUGGUUUUACCUAUACCCCCUAACCCAACUAGAGAGAUGACAUAAAGGCCUUGUUGUUGUUCACUACUUUCACACAACAACUUGCUUAAGAGCUCAUUUUUCUCAUCAACUCUACCGCAAACCUCUCCCUCAUCAAUCAAGGAGGUGGUUCGCACUCGCUCUGGUUUCUUAACAUUGUUGCUCACAUUCUCAACAAAUUUAAACGUAUCGUUUUGGGAGGCAAUAUCAUCUAGCUUUCCAUUGAUUUCCCUAAUCUUGACGGCAAUGUCAUGACGAAGACUAAGUUGUUUGAAACUACCAAAGCAGUUUGAUACAGCACAAAAGAAGGAGCGUACCUUCUUCUUAUGAGGAGCAAGAGCAAGAGCAUUGUCAUCAUCAACGCCCUCAAUCUGCAAUUUGAGCCUUGCAGUGGUCCACUCCUCCAACACGUCUUCCAUGUCGUAAGAUGCAUCUUUGAGCUGAUCCAGCCAAAAAGUAACAGCAUUGUCGCGCUGCAUUUGCCUUUUCUCUGAAUCUUCCAGCACAGCUCGAAUGGCUCGAAGAUUGCUGGCAAGCUUUUUCACUUCUUCUCCGAAACCAGUCACAAGCCUCACGUGUUGUUUCACUUCAUCAGCCGCAACGGAGAUCAGCUGCUCCAGGAGAGAGGAAACGAUCGCAUAAACCAUUCUGACAAAGAAAACGAGAAUUUUGAUGAGUUAUUAGAUGUGCUUUUGUUGCGAAGAUAUGAAAGAAAAGGAGUUAUUGCAUUCUUUUAUACUGCAUAGAAAAUGUUUAUGCUUAUCCCCACCCCACACGUCAAUGAUUGUAGAAUGUUUAAUUUCCCACACGUUAGGAAUUUGGGACAUAAUAAUAAAUAUUCUCAAAUUUGUCGCAUCUUUAACGUAUGAGCACGUGUUUUGUCUAUGUCACUUUUUUUCUAUCUUACUGCAAUAUCAGGUAGAGGAAUUCGAUCAGUUUCCCCAACAGAUGGGAAACGAUGUCAUCAGCCAAUUGAUGUUGGAUUAAAUGCUAAAUGUUACGAUUGCUUUUGUUGCGAAAAUGCUCAAAGAAAAGUGGCUUUUGUGUAUUCUGUGAGAAUGCUCAUUCAAGCAUUUUUGCAUUCUUCUUAUACUACGUGAGGUAUUUAAUUUUUACCCUUGAGUCAAUGUCAAUGUGAAAGCUUUUAUGCUGCAAAUUAAAGAAAUCCCAGACCAAUAAUUGUACAACAUCUGCCCUGUCUCUCUGAUUCAUAAUAAUUAUGCAGACUACUCAGCAUCGGCACUUGUAAAAUUUCUUACAUUAUAAGUAACGAAAUAUUUGUAAACUACCACAAAAAGCUUGGAGCAAUCUACUGAUGAACCUUCUGAAGUUACAUAAAAUAGAAUAAUCUUAGUGUUGGAACAAUUUUAAAAUAAAUGAUGUCUCAUUAUAAAGACAUAUCUAAUUAAUAUAGAAGAGUAAUCUUUUGAUAUUUAAUAAAUAUCAUACUAUGGUCUAUGACUUAGCUCAUACUACAAAGAAAAUAUGUGAAAGAUAAUUAAGGAAUAAAGCUUUCAACAACGAUUUAUAAAAUUGCUUUUGAUAAAACUGUUCUGAUGAAAUGAAAUUAUGUGAAAUUACUAAGAAUUUAAUUAGCCUCUCAAAAAGGUUCAUUGAUUGCUUGACUUCUCAAGUUUAAAAUUCGAAUGUCAAAACAGAUAAAACGUUAAAAAAUUAUUUUGAGUUUUAUCCACCCGUUUACCAUUUUAAUACAUAAAACUCUCCUAUUGCUUUAAAGUAUCAUUUUUUGUUUUAAACAAAAAAUGACACUUUAGUAUCAUAUGUUUGCAAGAUAUUCGGCCAUGAGUGUUGACGGAAAUUUCUUCAUCCUUGAGCGGAAAAUAAAAAGAAAAACAUAGUUCGCAAUUUUAGUAGCGAAACCAAUAUUUUGAUCCAUAUGGGGUAAAUCUUCAGGAGGCCCAACUUCAAACUUAAAAUGUUAGCUGAGGGUUUAAUUUUAGACUGUUUUUCUAUUUAUAGUUAUUAUAUAGUUGUUAGGAAUUUCGAAAUUUUAGAAUUUUGCUUGUAGCUACAGGCUGCAGCGAUUUUAUUUGGCGACUUUGAUUCAUAAUUGAAGUACUGUUGCAAGUAAAAACUAAAAAAAUAAUUAACAAAAUAAAAAUCAAAGACUUAGGCCCAAGUUUUUAUCAAAAUUUUAAUAAAAGGCUAUUUGUCACAUCGUCAUAAUGGAAAAAUAAUUAAUACAAUAAACAAAUCGAGUUACUUGAUUUUAUUUUAAUAAUAUAUAAAUAAAAUUUUUAUUAUAUGUAUAAAUUUUAUAUAUCAAGUUCUUAGGGGUCAAAUCAGUUUUUUUAUACCUAAUUUUUAAUAUUUCACUUCGAAACCUCAAAAUUUUUCAAAGCUUGUAGGGUCAUGAUCCUCACUAGGAGUGGGCAAAUUUGUGUUCAUAUUAACUUAAUCGGGUUUUAGGUUGAUUGGGUUAGAAUAUUCAGAUUGGAUUGUAUCAAAUCAAAAAUUCAAGUUUAGUUUGGAUUGCAUCAGGUUAUAAUUAUAUGGGGAUCAAGUUGGAGUUGGAUUAGCCAACUUGGAUUAAAAUCAAAUUUGGUCAGCUAGGAUGGAUUCAGAUAAUGUUGGGAUUAGGGGUGUUUUUGAGCCUAUUUUGUUUAUUUUCAGUUUUUUUUUAAAUUAUUUUAGUUCUUGAAGAUGGUUUUAUUGUAAUUAUCUCAUUUGAAUUUGUUUUUACCAAUUUUCAACCAAAAAAAAUGAAAACUACUACUAUAAAAUCAAAUGAAUAAAAAUUGAAAUGAACUACUACUAUUAGAUUGGAUCGGAUCCUCAUCUCUUGGCCUUCUUAUACAAUAAGGUAACUUUGAGCCAUCUAUAGUGUAGUUUUCAUUUUUUUUAUUGGUCAUUUAUAUUGUAAGAAUUUCCCUAUUAAUAUUGUUCCCAAUCUCUUCUACCUUCUACAUAUCACUAUCUAAAAUUCUUUUCCAUUCUUCUGUUGGUCAUUUAUAUUGUAAGAAUUUCCCUAUUGCCUUUGCAAUAAGAGGCAGGCCUUGCAUGCAAUUUUUUUUAUCAUUUGGUCACCAUCCUUAAAAAAUUGACCAAAAAAUGCUACUUGCUUAAACAAUGACCAACAUUCUUCUUCAGUUAAUUCCUUAAUAAAAAUAAUAUUUGUUAAUCUCAUCAUGCUUGCUAUUAUCUAAUGAUGUGUAGUAAUCAAAAAAUUGACUACUGUAGAGACCAUUCUUUAAACAAUAGAAGAAUGGUUCCCAUUGAUUGUAACUUCCAUCCCACACGUCAUCUAGGACAAGAAAAAAAAAAAUCUUUCCCUCAUUAGAUUUAUCAAUAUGGUUUACAAGAGAUAACCUAAUAUUUGUCUGUUGCCAUUCUUGCAUUAUAUGCAUACUCCAUGACUUACAAGAUUGCUUCUUUGACCAUCUAUCUGAUAACCUCCAAUGGCAAAGCUAGCAUCAUUUGUUUGGGUGGGCUAGAUUUAAAAAAAAUGAAAUUUACUUCUCAAAAAAUUUGUUUUAUAUAAAUGAAAUUAAGCACACUACAUAAGCAAAAAUUUAACCAUAAAACUAUAAAAAUACAAUGUAAAUAAGAAAAACAAUAUUGACGAAGAUGUGUCCUACGGUUCUUCAAAAAAGAAAAUUCAUCUACUAUCGCAUAUGAGUCAAUAUUGUCUGCAAUUUCUCUUUCCAUGUAAAUAACCAUACAAUCUGAAAGAAACUCAUUCUCCAUCUUGUUUCAAUGUGUUGUCUUAAUCAGUUUCAUGGCAGAAAAUGCUCUCAACUGUUGUUGCUGUUGAAACAAGAAGGGUUAACACUAAAUGAUUAACACUAAACAAGAAGGGUUAACAAGAAGGGUUAAUCUAUCCAACAAGAAAUAAAUCUAUGACUUUCUAGUCUCAACCAAUCUUCGACACAGUUUAGAAAGGGAAGUAAUAUUCUGAAACUCUUGAAGAGAGUGUAUAUCUAUCUCAAAGCACUCUAAUUGUCUUCUCAAAGCCUGUAACUCAAUCUUAGUGAAUCUUUAGGAUAAAAUCUUUCAGCAAGGCUGUAAAUAUCUUCAAUUUUAAAUGAUUUAAAUGCAUCAAUAGGAUUUAAAGCUGAACUAAGAGUGAGGAGUUCCAAAGUCUGUUAAGCAAAUCUAUUAUUCAACUCCAUCAAUUGAAAAUCUAUCACAGCAUUAAAUAUAUCAUAAUGAUAAUAAUGCUCAACUGUAAUAUAAUUAUUCUGCUGACAAGAACAUCCUCUGCCUUUCAUAUGGCGAGCUUUCAUAUCAGGCAUAUCUAUCUCAUUCUUUUCAUAAAAUAGAACUACGUUCUCAAUAAAAGUUUUCCAACCAUUGUCUCGCAGCCUUUGAAGAAGUUUUUUCGUAGUUGAGACUAAGUGCACAACAUUUAGAAUAUCUUGAGAUUUAACUUGUAAUGCUUGACAAAGUAAAUCACUCACCCCCAAAACUUUAUUUAAUAAAUGCAAAAUGAACACAAAUUUAAAAGAUGUCAUUGAUUCACAUGCACCUUUAGCCUCUCCACAUAUACUAUUGUUAGGUCCACACUCGACCAACUUCUCAAGAACUUUACGAACAACACUAAACAAAUCAAGCAACCUACUGAUAGAAUGGAAAUGAGAGCUUCACCAAGUAGCUCCAGGCCGUUGCAAAGUAUGAAUUUGAUUGGCCCCUGUACCAGUUUGAACUUCUCCUGAAGCUAUCAAAUCUAUUAUUUCUGCUUCCCAAACAAAUUUUAACUCAGAAAGUCGUUUAGCAGAUGAAGUCAGAACAUUUACAAUUGAACCCAAUGCUGAAAAGAAAAGCCAUACAUCUGGCACAUCAUUAGAUGCUGCAACUAAAGCAAGUAGUUGAUGUGCAAAACAGUGUAUAUUAUAUGCAUAUGGGCAAUCUUUCAAAAAUAAUGCUUGUAAUCCAUUCCAUGCAUCCCGCAUGUUACUAGCACCAUCAUACCCUUGCCCUCGGAUAUUUUCAACUAAAAGAUCAUAUCGUGCAAGAACAUUACAUAUUUCUUUUUUCAAUGUUACUGUUGUAGUUUCCAUGACAUUGACAACUUCAAAAAAACGUUCUCGAAUAUACCCAUCACAAUCAACAUACCUUAAAAUAAUAGCCAUUUGCUCUUUAUCAGAUUCCUCAAGUGCUUCGUCUACUAAAAUACAAAACUUACCAUCUCCAAUUUCCUUGCUUAUCUUGUUUUCGCACUUUGUUUGCAAGAAUAUUUAAAAGCUCUUUUUGAAUGUCAGACGAUGUAUACUUAGCAUACGAUGGAGCAUUUUCCAAGACAACUUGAGCAAUUUCUUUACUACACUCCGCUGAAUGCUUUAUCAACUCUAUGAAAUUUCCCCGAUUUCUUGAAUCAACUGGUUCAUCAUGACCUCUAAAAGCACAUGCUUGCUCUGCUAACCAUUUAACUGCAAUAAUUGAGGUCUUCAAUCGUAGCCUAUUCUCCAAAAGUUGUUGUGAAGUUUGGGCAUUAAUUAAUCUAUCAAUGUGUUGAAUUGGGUUCCUCAAACAACCCCAACUCUGCAUAUUCUUAUUAUGAUGAGAAGAUGGACCUCCUUCAUGCUGUAAAAAGGGACAUUUUUUUCCAUUGUUGACUCUCUUCCAACUAGAAAAUCCUUCAAUAACAAAUUUUGGGUUGUUUGAUGGAAUUUCAUCAAAAAGAAAGCAUGGAAAACAAAAUGCACGAUCUUUUACCUCAGAGUACUCAAGCCAUGGAAAUUUUUUAAACCAGUGACAGUGAAACCUACGUUCUUGCAUGCCAUCAUUAGUUAGUGGAUAAUCUCGUAGUUUAGGCUGAUAAGGUCCCAUUUUGAUGUACUCCCUUCUAAUAUCAUCACAUUGAUUUACUGAAUACGUCCCUAUUUGAUGACGUAAUCCAGGAUCACGCUCCAGAUAAGUAUUUCUAGUUUCUUCAACUUCAACCCUUUGAAACUUGGAAGUAUGUUGCUCACUGGAAUCUUGAGCAUUAACUUGACAUGGAGAUAAAGACUUGGUGGAUGAUUGAUUUUCACCUACUCUCUUAAAAAAAGAAAGUAGAGUUUUUCUUGGUUUAUUUAACAUUGAAUUUGUAAUAAAAUACAUUAAAAAUUUAGUAUUUAUUUUAUAAAAAAUUUGACAAAAUCGCAAGUUAAAAGCUAAUUAAAAAAGUCAGCAUUCAAAUUAAUUAUUUUACUAUUUUAUUCACUCAUUCUUUCAUGCCAUCAUUAUUUUAUAAUUACAAGAAGAUGAAUCAACACCUUUCACAGUUCCACUUUAUAUGCUAUCAUCACCGUUUUUCACAUUCUAUUAUUUUAUAAUUUUAAAAAGAUGAAUCACAGUUCACAAAAUCAACAACUUCCAGUCUUCCACAAUUCCACUUCGUGUGCCAACCAUCAUUAUCAUAAAAUCAUAUUAUAUUCUGUAAACUAAAGUUUAAAAGGCAAAGUGCUUUGUACCAAGGGCCGCAUCAAGAGACUGGGCAUUCGGCGUCGGCUCGGCAGUGAGAGAUUCAACCUAUGGGUGCGGGCCUUGCGGCAGUGGUUCGGCGUCACUCAUGAGGCAGCGGCUGGGCGUCAAUUCGAGCGCAGGAGACUGGGUAUUCAGCAGCGGUAAGAGACUUGAGCAAUUGAAUUUUGGUAAAUUUCAAAUUCGGAUUUAGUUAGAUACUGGUGAGUUUUAUGAAUUGUGAUUUAGGGAAAUAAAAGAUUCCUAUAAUUAUUGGGUUUGUUUUUAUUUUUCUAUAAAUACUAAUAAAAGUAAAUUUAUAAAUUAUAAAUAUUUUUUUUUCAAAAAGCUUACCCAGGCUGCAGCCCGGGUUAGCCUUCCCUAAGCUUUGCUCUGCCUCCACAGUCAUUGUCUACUUCCCUUGAAUGUCUUCGGGAUGGUUGUUCCUUUAUGUGGUCACAUCAUGAUAACAAGCAAACUUACUCUAAUACCAGCUGGCGAUGAGGAAACAUUAAAAGGCUAUUAGAUAAUAGAAACUAGGUUUUUAAAUAAUAAGUUAUAUUGCGAAUAAUUUGAACAAACAAAAUUGGGGUAUUGAACCACUUUUAUAGAAGCAUAAAUAUUAGGAAUUUACCAAAAUAGGCAAAUCCAAAAUAUUAUAUGAUAAUAAAAUCCUUCUAAUCUAAAUAAGAAAAGGAAAACAAAUGGAACUCAAAUCCAAUAUCUAGAAAAAAAGGAUAAAAAUCCUAAAAGAAUCACGACAAAUUAAAAAAAUAUCUUAAAACUGAAAAACAACAAAGAAAGAAGUGAAAUUUUUUGCUCAACCGCAGGGCAUGAUAGCAUAGACUGUUCUGCAUUUGGUUCAACUUAUUGCAAGCUUUGAAACGAUAUAUUAUACAUUCAAAAUGGAACGGAUAUCUGUAUCCUAAGUUAUGACCUUCGGAAGAUACCCUACUCAUUCUAUGCAACCAUCCUACGUCAACUUGCCUUUGCUAUGUAUCUUCGAGCAACUUGAAUGGCUUGAAGAUUUGUGGUAAGCUUUUUCACUUCUUGUUGGAGAAUAGUCACAAACCUCACCUGUUGUUUCACUUAUUCAUAAGCAGCAAAGGAGUUCAGUUGCCCAAGAAGAAGGGAAGCGAUCGCAUCCGCCAUUCUGACAAGGAAAAGGAGAAAUAAUUUGAUAAGAUGUUAAGUGUGCUUUUGUUAAGAAAAUACCAAAUCAAAGGAGCAGUUGCAUUCUUCUUACAUUGCAUGAAAAAAGUUAAUAGUUAUCCUCCCCCACCCCACACAUCCAUAAUUUUACCAUCUUUAAUUUUUAUGAUUCUACUCCACAACUAUGGUACAUAAUUGUAAAUAUUCUAAAAUUAAUUUGUACUGGUCGGGCCAGUGCCAUGUAAAACAAAAACAAAAACUCAAAAGAAAAAAAAAAGAAGAAAACAAAAGUUGUAAAAAGCAUGCCUCACGGAUAAUUUACUUAUAGUUAAAUUUCGUCCCACACCCUUAUUAGAUUGAAAUACUUUAAUUUACCCUCCAAAAGUAUAAAAACUUCAUUUUACCUGCCAAAUGCCAUUAUUUUUAAUAGUUAACUAAUGUUGACUUGAAAAAUACGAGAAUGCCCCUGACCCUAACUAAUUAACAGUUCAUUGAGUUAACAAGAAUAAUUUUAUUUUGCCCCUUAAGGUCUAUUAUAUUUCAAGUUAGACUACAAAAAAAAUUAUUAAUAAAAACUCCCUAUAGAAAAAAAAAAGUAAAAAAACCAUUAAAAGAUUAAUUUAACUUUUACUUAUAUCUUAAUCUAUAAAACAAGUAUGAUAAUCACAAAUUUAUGUUAUGAUAUCACCACAAUGAAAAUUUAAAAAAUAAUUUUGACCCUUCUCUUGAAUUUAAAUAUCUUAGGAAUAUCAAUAUUUAAUUAAUUAGUUGACUUUUACCAUUCAAAAUACCAUUUUACCUUUCAAAGUAUCUAAAAGACAAAUUAACGCACAAAAUUUAUUGACAUUCCAUUAAUAAUGUAAUUUGACGGGUUAAAAAUUAAAAAAAUAUAUAAAAUUUAGAGAAAUUCAAAGACUGAAGCCUUAACCCCUACUUAUAAUCCCAAAUUUUUAUCAGUUUCUUUCUUAUUAAUAUCAUUUGCUAUAAUUUUAAUCUUAUUUUUUUUAAUAAUAAUUCUUUUUAUUGAAAGCCAUUUUAGUAUUUUUUUUCCCCAAACAUCAAACUAAGGGGUAAAAUAGUAAAAUAAUUCAUAAUUUAUAAUAUUUCAGUAUAUCCAAUAUAUAUCAUUUUCAUAGAAUAAUAUUUAUCAUUUUUUUAGUAUUCUUAGGAAUCUUGAAUAGUAACACCUUUUUUUUUUUGGUGUGGACCAUGAAGUAUUCUGGGGAGAGCCCCAACUGUGGAAGGCACCUUUAAGCCCGUACUACAACCCAGACUAACAAUCCCCGCUCAAACCGGGAGACACAGGUUCUCCCAACAAAUGCGACUUCCCUGCGACUAAUAGUAACUCCUUUUUAAUUUAUGAUUAAAAUGUUAAAAAACAAAAAAGUUAUAAUCUUUUAAAAUUUGAAACGAGUUAUUGCAAAAUAAUAAUAAUAAUAAUAAUAAUUUUAUUCCUUAGUUGAGCUUUGAAAUAUAAUAAAUUACCAACAAUGGCAUCCACUACAAUUUAUCCUUAAUUAAAAUUUAAAAUUGCAAUCCAUUUUUUUGUUUUCCAAAUUAUUUUUUCUUUUAUUCUUGGUCUUCUUUAGUUUCCUUAUUUCUUUGUCUUGUACUCUUUUUUUUUUUUUAACCUCUGUUCCAUAUUUGAGGCUUUAUCUUAAUUCUUUGCAUUAAUUCUAUCAAGACUAUCCUUGAUAAUUCUAUUACGGUACAACUCAAAUUUCUACCAUCACAUAAUAUUAGAGAUAUAUAUUAUAUUCUUAUUAAUCAGAAGAUAAUUUUACUCCUAUCCAGUUUAAUUAAGAGGAAAAUCGAGAGAAAUAUCUACUUUAUUCUUGUUAAUAAAGAAAUAAUUUUAUCCCUAUCUAAUUUAAUUGAAAAGAAAAUUGACAAUAACCUAUGCACUCAAGCCAACUUUAAGUGCUUGGAUGCAUGGGUUGUAAUGUUUUUUAUUUAAAGGCUCAGGCUAGAACCAACUAAUAUCAGCCGUGUGAUUUUAAUCACUCAAUCCAACCGUCACGAUUACACUCAGUGGAUAAACAUUCCACAUAGUCCACAAACAUGAAGAGUAAAGGAUUGAUUGCAUAUGUAUCCUCUCAAGUUCUCAAGAACUUUUUCUUUAAAACACACUUUUAAAGCUAAUCUGCAGAUCUCUCCGAAAACUUUUCCUCUUCUAACUCCUCAUCUCUUCCUCACCAAAUCUUCGGAGGCAAAAAUCUUUCUUGCCUUCUCCAGUGGAUUCUUGAUUUCUUUUUUUCUUUUUUUUUUUCGGUUGCACCCACCUCUUCCUUAUGAUUUGAGGAUGUGUGUCUUGUUCUGGCCUUCUUCACCUUAAGGUGGUUGUUCUAUUUCAAUUUUCUCCUCCUUUGGUUUUGAGGAUGGCUGCUAUGCGUCCAUUCAGAUCUUGAUCUGUGAUGGUAAUAAUGUACCAGUUAUAGUGAUAAUUUUGGUUUAAUUUCUAUUUUCCAGUACAUAACCCUUCAACAUCUCUGUCAAAUGCAAUGAACCGAUCACAACCAUUCAUAAUUAACCCAAAAAAAAAAAAAAAAAAACACAGAGAACAAUCACAACGACGAUUUGUUUUGAUCAUCCCUGCUUUUUCUUAGCAUAGCUCUUGGAAUGAAAAUUAAUAAAAAGUGUCAAAAGGGAAGCAUUAAACACAGCAUUGAAGCACCAACCCAAGAUCCCAGAGCAUCCAAAUCCCGCAAAAUGAUAAUACAGCAUCAAAACUGAAACAACAAAACUAAACACGAACUGAACAAUCUGACAGUCAGUGACCAAUCUCUUCCACUUUGGCCGCAACCCCAUCACACACAAUAGAUAGUACCCGUACAUGAUCACGUGCACACUUGCAUUGGUGACAAGUGCGAUAGGAAACAAAGACUGCUUCGUCUGUAACCAAAGGUAGCACAUUACGACGACGGUUGCGUGGUGGUAGACGUGGAGGAACGUGAGCCGUUCGAUGGAGUUUGACAAAAUGAUCAAAAGGGUGUCUAGGAAUUCGAGUAUUUUGGAGAGGUAGAAGAUGUAAGCGUAGAAGAAGAGGGGACCGGAGGGAGAGAUGGUGGGGGGGAAACAGAGGGUGUGACGGAGGUCGGGUGAAUGGAGGACGAUGGAGAGAGUGCAACCAACGGCCAUGACGAGGGAGAGGAGGAGGAGGGUGAGGUUAUGGACGGCUGUGAUGGGCUUGAGGAUGUGGGGUCCAAUGAGAGGUGAUGAUGAUGGUGAUGUUGGCGUUAAUUUGUGGUAGAGUAUGAAUGUGAGGGAGAGGUAAGUGAGGAUGGAGAGAAUGAGGAAGUGUGGGGAGGAAGCUGGGGUUUGGUUUUGAGUCCAUGUGAAGUUGAGGAUUUGGGGGUGGUUUACAAGCCAAUAUUGGAGUGUUGAGGUGAUUGAAUUUGAAGCCAUGGCUGGUUUUUUGGAGGAGGAAAGAUUUGGAAGAGAUGAUGUUGAGAGGAGUGGGGGAGUUUAGAAAGUUUGGGAUAAUGUGAGGGGUAUUUUGGGCAUAUAAUGUUGUCUGAGCUUAAAUUUUUGUUAAAAAGAAAUAAUAAUAAUAAUAAAUUCUUUUCUCAUGUCAAUUUAAAACUCCGAGUGUGUUUCCAACAAUUGCUUUUCUUUUUCUAUUUUGGGAUUUUGAAUCAUUUUUUUUUCAAUUCAAUAAUGGCCUCUUCAAUUAUAAAAUAUGGUCAAAGGGGAUGGGGUGUAGUGUCUAGGCCUCCGCGACAACGGCAUCUUUGAACGUGGGUUUCAUCAGUUUUUUUUUUUUUGGCUAUUUCUGCUCAAAUCAAACUUGUGGAUUUCGUGCACUCAACGUGGAACCCUUUUGAAUGGACGCAAUGGUUUUGGUGGGAUCACACAAUCCGAAGAAGCAUGGAACUGGGACCAAUUUGUUGACAAAAAUUUAGGCAUAAAAUUUACAAAUCGAAGUCAGAGUAAGAUUUAAGUAAAAUUGAGUAACAUCUUGCACAUCGAGUAAGGAUUUCUACAAUCGGGCUAGAAAGUGCAACUAAAAUUUGGUAAGAGUUUCAUAGAGCAUAAUUUUUAAGAUACAACGUUAAGAGUAUUUAGUAGACACUUAUAAUAUUACUUGAAUUGAUUUAAUCUCAUACUCUAAUAUAAAAAAUUUAAAAUAUACUCUUAUAAUAUUACUUGAAUUGAUUUAAUCUCAUACUCUAAUAUAAAAAAAUUUAAAAUUUCUUUACUAAUUUUAUUGAAAGUAUUAUUUGACAAUCCUAUUUAUUACAUAAUAUCAACGUUUAUAUUAUAAUUACCGCUAAUACUAAAAGCUGAUCUCGUAAUUAAAAGCUAAACAAAAACUCGAGUACAAUCUAGUAAUUAAAAGCGCUAUGGUUUUUUGGCAUUACAAGAUGAUUCAAACUUGAACUUGCCAUCAAAAGUGUAUCAAAACAAUCACAGAGACACUCUGUUUGACAAAUCUGCAGUAGAAUUUGCACAAUUUAACUGGGUUACAGAGAGUGAAUAAGAUUCCAAAGCAACAGGCCAUUAUUAUUAAGAAAACAAUUCAUCGCUAGAACAAAAUUAACUUUUCUAACUUACUAGAAUUUAACUGGAGAAAAAUUGGAAUAUACGAAGUUGUAUCACAUAUAGUAUUUAGACAUCAAGAAAAGAAUCCCUCUAUCAGUGAACUAUACUUGCCAGGAAACACGGUGAAAUACCACCACCUCCCUACUAGUUCUUAGAUGUCUCAAAAGAGUUUGAUGACGACUUCCGUGUUGUAUCUCUUCGACAGGCAGCAAAAUUGGGCUAUUGACUAGAUUAACUCCCCAGAAAUUUAUGCGGUCACCUUCUUCCGGACUAUCCUCUUUCUUCGCACUUUAGGAGCCCUUGCUUCCCCUUCAACAGAGUCGACAUUCCCUUGUUUGAUGCCAAGGAGCCCAAGCCCAGAGACAAUGGCAUUCUUUGAUAUCAACCACUUUGGGGACUUUUGAGUUGAGCCAUUGACAUCCUGAGACGGCCUGUUGUAAGCCUUCUUCAAAAGGUCAUCUGACUGAAGUAGCGGAUCCGCUUCCACUCCUAACCAAGCAAGCCUUGAUCUUUCUCCUAAUUGGACAUUAAGAACCCUGCAUGGAAUCCAUUUGAGAAGUUGAACAAUAGACAAAGUCCAACACAUAUAGGCAGUAAAGAAUAAUUUGGACAACAAUUACUGAUUGUUUACGCACAGGGCUGAACAAAUGGGAAUAUUAAGGCACAUAAAAAUUGGAACCAUAUUCACCACUUGUACUUCCUUAGAGAAUUAUCUCAGAGUUCUGUUAAUUUAAAACCAUUCUUACACAUUUAACUGUAAAACUAGAGAAAUUGUACUUCUGUAGCGAAGUCUCACUAUUGUUAAGGAUUUGGACUUGGAGAGAAUGCAAGUUGAUUAAGCAAAGAAAAAUUGAAAUAAUAAUUGGUGAUAGAUCUAACACACUUCAAUAGAAACCACACUAACAUCAUAUCAGGCAAAUAAACAGAUUCCCCAGUCAAAAGUUUAACAAACAAAACAUUAAAACAAUAGUAAUUUGGUCCGACCAGAAUAGUCUAUCAAUGUAUAUAGAGAUGUAGAUCAAUAAACAAAUACGUAAAAGAGAGAGAGGGAGAGACCUCAAAGCAGUGCUUAAGAACAGUGCUACUCCAAUAACAUCAAAAUGGUUGAUGACCGCUCUAUCAAAUCCACACAAUAGCUGGUAUCUCAUGUUUGCACAUAGUCCAAGGAAAGCACCAUAACCAAGCGCAUUAGUACUCACAGAUGGGAUUGUCACAGAUAACCUGUCAGACAUUAAAGGUGGCCCAAAUUUAACAAAUGUUAAACUAGCUUAGACAGUAAACAGAACAAUUUUCUAAGUUUUCUUUAUUUGUGAUGAAUAAGUGAACGAGGAAUGAAAAGGAAGUUUUACAACCAUGUUUACCUGUCCUUUUUACCAGCAAGAUAGUUUGACAAAGAGCCUUGCACUGCUCCUGCAGUUAAUCCCACCAUACACAACUCUGCAGCCUUGUAAAAAAGGGAAUGGAUUCUCUUUUGCAAGUCAAAUUCUCGAAAUGGGCAACUCCGUUCUAAUAUAUUGUUUGGGAACGACAAGGAGCAAACAUUUAUUAGCUUAAUAUAUAAAAUAAAAAUAAAAAGCAAGUUCCUUUGUUGUGAAAAGAAAAAUAAAAACACGCCUAUCCUUACGAUUCUCCAGCUCCCACCAAACAGUGCAACCAAUUAUGGGAGCCUGCUCUACCAGAAGUUUAUACAAAAAAGCUGGAUCUGCCAGCAUCCUGGGGCAACAGCAGUUAAUACAUAAGAAAUCUGAAAAGAGGCCCAACAUUUUACAACCAAUCAAAAAUCACUGAACCAUUGGAAAGUGAUUUACGUAUAAUUUUUUUUCCAAACUUUGUCCAAAAUGAUAGAAUGAGAGAGGAUGAGAUAGGAUGACACAAGAAACAAAUGUAAAUUGACCGUGUUGGAGAAAAAUCAGUUUUUUAUACAAACUUUUAGGGCCGAUCUCAUACAAUAUAUAGGAAUACGGAAUCUAGAAAUCGUACCUUGAAAAUCUGAGAAGAUGAACAAUCUUUGCUUUUUCCGCUGAAGUGAUUUAGGCUCUCAGAUCACGAUCUGUUACCACCACUCCUGUUAGAUCACGAUCCGUCACCACCACGCCUAUUAGAUCACGAUCCAUCACCACUGAUCUUAUAGACUAUGACUCAGGUUUGAUCCGCACUUGACGUGUGGACGCCUUUAUCACCACUAUAAGCAACUAGAGAGAAAAAUUUUCUCUCAAAAUUAGAGAGAAAAAGUCUUUUUCUCUAAUAUGUAUAAUGUGGCUGCUCUGUCUCUUUUGGGAGAAAAUAAACCUUUUUAUAUCUCUAUUUAGUGGAAACCCUAUGCUCCAUAUUUAUUUAUUUAUUAAUUCUAUUAAAUCCCAUUUGAUUUAAAUUAAAAAAUAAUUAAAACAAAAGUGACGUUACUUGUUUUUGUGUUCUAGGGGCCCGCCUUGUAAAAUAACACAAGGCCCCUUACACACAGGCAUAUUACACUCCCACUAAAUAAUUUAUUUAGGCUUUUAACUCAAAUAGCUAGUUAUCUUGCUUAUUAAUCCAGUAGCAGCGUGGUCAAUUAAACAAGCUAACCCGGGGAUUAUAUGGGUACAUACAAUAGUGGCUACAAUAAUUAGACCUGUAAUUAAACUAGUCCAAUUAUUUAAUUCCAAAUCUACUCCACUAAAAUAUUGGAAUUGACCUCCAUAAUUGUAUGCUAUCUAGGAUAGUGUACUCGAAUAAUAAUUCGACCUAUGCCACAUUGAUUUCUUUACUGCAUAAUCAUUUGUACCACAUCAUUAAUUAAAUCAAUAUCUCAACUGUCCAAUCGAUUUAAUUACAUCUUGUUCCUUGAUACUUACUGGUUUUCUCUAAUGAUCAUUUUCAAACAUACUAAAUAUGUUGACACACUCUGGCCAGAGAAUUCUAUGAUCAAGUGCCGAAAACCCAUCAAGAAUUCUAUAUUGUUAAUUUAUAACUUCAAUACUCAUAAUUACUCCCACCAAGAUACCGGGUAAUCUUAACCACAAGUGUGUGUCGUGCCCAUUGGUAACUCAAAUGGAAUAACAAUUACAAUCAUGAAAUCAUAACUAACUCAAGAUUAAGAUUACAGUAAAAUCAAUGCCUAUGAGAUUUAAUAAGUCUGACAGUCAUUUCAAGGUUAAUUAAAUCUCAUAUGUGAUCCAGCUCAAUGUAGUCAAACUACGUCAGUAAAUUCAUAUAUGAUUAAGACAAGCCAUUCAAUGAAUUUACUACAGUCUAAACAUAAAUAGAACACCCAACUCUAUUUAUCAACUGCGAACUAAAUUUAUUUAAUCAUAAGAUAACUUGUAUUUAUGUCUUCUGUGAAUCCAUAUGAUGAUCACAUAAAUACAUAUAAUAUGAUUAAACAGACCUUAUUCGAUAUAUAUUUAUGCAAUUGAAAAUAUCUUAAAUAUUUUAUUAAUCAAAAAAUAAAUUAAUAUACUUUAAAAGAGCAUAUAAUCCCAACAGACAGCAAGUAGAAAUAUACUUCUGUUAUAUUUGCAACAUCUUCUAGUGUCAAUUUCUUUUCCUUGAGCUCUGUUUCUGCGUGUGCUCAAAUGCAACGCGCAUGACACAAGAUAUAAUUAUCAACAUGAAUUUUUGCCGCCACAUGCAGCACUUGGAAAACUGUUUAUGGUCAUACAGAACUGGAAAAUAAAAAAUCAUUAACAGCGAGAGAAAUCAUUUUAAUCGCAACCAAACAUACACACUAUGAAAAUCUAAAAUUGAAUUUCUCCCAAUGAAUGUGCCUCUUCACAGCAAUUUCACAAGCUAAUCCCAGCAGCCUGCGUCAUGGAGUUUCUCCCAAUGCGUGAGCGAGCCUUGAAUAGUGGCUCAAACUAAAAUGAACUUAUUGUGGACAUUUGAAUUAAAAAUACAUGUAAAAGCAGUUUUCUCAAAGCAAGGUCAAGAUAAGAGAUUAACUUUGCUCCUUAUUUACAUUAAAAAUAACAAACAAUGAAAAACAGAGCUAGAGACGAACUUACCUGUGUGCUGAGACAGAGCUAGAGGGGAAUAUGGGAUAUCUUCUUAGAUUUGGUUUGAGAAACUCCAUCUUCUUCUGAAAGUUCUGAUAGUUCCCUUAACCCAGGCCAAUACAAUUGCAACAGAAACUGCAUGCUUUAAGCAGCAUCUGAUCAUCUCUUGUUAUUUCAAGACAAUAAUAACUUAAUUGCAACACUGUGUGCUUCAACCAUUAACCUUUUCAAUUUCAACACUUCUUUUGUCCCCCGCCCGAUGCCCUUUUAACAAUUCUAUGAAUCAGAUAAAUCAGCCUUCUUCACAAAACUAUGACAAACUUUUCACGGUGUUCCACACAUUCCGGGAUCCGUAUUGAUAACAAACAUUUGAUGAAGACCCUGCCAAUUAAAAUUUAGGUCACAUGUAACAUAAUUUCUUAUUUUUCUUUUGUACACAAAUGCAGACACUUAAGCAAAUUAAGAUUUCAUACCUAAAGCAAAUUAGGAUUCUUUUGACCCUGCAAGUUACAAUUUCACUCCCCAUGUAAUAGUAAAAAUUUGUACACAUAUUUAUAGCAAAUUAAUAUUUCAUACCUCACAAUAUUUAUCAUAACCAUCAAUCUUUAGAAACCACAUGCAGACUUGUUAAACUGUUUAUGGCGCAAAAUAACAGGGAAAUUAGAACAGAUUUUUAAGAAUGAGCGACUAAAUAUUUCAAUGGCAACUAAAAUUACACAUCUUGGAAAUCUGAAACUCAAGUACUCAGAAUGAAUGUGCCUCUUCACAACAAUUAAACAAGCUGGGAACUUUAGUGCAAAUGCUUUUUCAUAAUCUUCAAUUGCAUAAGUCAGUUAGAAUCAAUCUUUCUUAAUCUUUCAAUUCACAUAUGACAGCCUGAUAACACAAGGAAACACUAUUAGUGAAUUGUCAACUGCGACAAAUUUUGGGUAAAAAAUAUCAACUGUAGUUAUCUGCAUAACAUAUAGUGUCAACACCAAAUUCCUUCUUGAUCCGUGGAAGCAUUUCAGCCCACAGACGGUUUGCUUUGUCAAUAUAUAUCAAGCUUUGUAGCUUUUAAGAAAUUGCAGGUGAAAGACUUGGAAUUUUCGAUAGCAACUCAGGAUUCUAUAUUUAAACGAUGGUGUUUGAUGACUUGCUGAUACAAAAGACAUUGCCCCAAGCACUUUUUUACAGGAGCUAAAAUCAAGCCAGUCACUUCCAUUUGUUGCAGUUUUAAUGCAGAAAGAAAAAAAGGGGGGGGGGGAAUCUGCAAGAUAACACUUGUAGUACCGCAUGUUCGCAGAAGCAGAGUUAAAUAUGCUUAAUUUCUCACUCACUCCAAGAACUUUCAUUCUCCCAUAAUUCACUCAAAUGAAACUUUCAUUGGAAGGUCCAAUUAUUAAGGAUUUAGCAUCACUUCAUAUGCUCAACAAUUCAAAUUUAAGGAUGUUAUUUCACAAAAUGGAGGACUCUAUUUGGCUUGUGAACAAUCUUCCUCACCAUCAUCAUCAUUGUCGUACCAGUUGCACUGAACAAUCCUCAUUCUGACAUUUGCCCCAAUUAUCUGAUUACACAAGAAUCCGAAACAACUGUUAGAAAUUUUAAUCUUGAUAUAUAGCCAAAAUGGUGAAUAAGAUGAUGUACUUGAUAAUAAAAACUUGAUUUAAUAAAUAAUUAAGGGGCCGAUAACAAGCACAGAAUCUCAUCGUGUGGGGAAAGCCUUGACAACAGAAGAUGGUGCUUUCAUUCAAGCCGAUAACAAGCCACUAUAUAUGCAGUUAUCAUCUUCAAUUUGCUCAUCUUUGUCUACAGUAUUGCUUCUGCGUUAACUUAAUUAGCGUGCAAGCCACCUGAAAAUGGUUUUAAAUACUGAGAAAAAGUUUGAAUUCGAACAAGUUAAUCAAAUAUGAUGACAGAAAACACAAAAGUAAAAUAACCAAAAGAAGUAGAAAUAUACUUUUGUUAGAUUUAGAGCAUAAUUCUUCUGUCAAGUUCAUUUCCAUUAGCCUUGUUUCUGUGAGUGCUCAAAUGCAAUUCCUCAACGCUCAAGAUAGUUUCCGCGGACCUGAAAAACUAGUUGUGGCCAUAAGGAACUUCAAAAUUAGAAAAGAUUCAGAAUGAGUGACUAAAUAUUUUAAUCAAAACUAUUUAAACAUACACUAAUAUACCUCUACGCAACCAAGGAUGUAUCGGAUUAAACUUGCACUCUUCGAGUGAGUGUUGACUCCAAAAAUAGAAAGAUCAGAGAUGAAUAUUAAGAAUGGAAAGACAGGUUGUGAAAGAGAGAAGAGCCAAGAGAAAUAGAAAGAGAUAUUUUAUUUCUUCAUACCCCACACGAAUUCGUUCUGCUCUACAUAUAUUCCUCUGUCUAAGACGUUAGCAAAAAUAUUACAGCUCAACAACUUCUAACAGAAAAUAUGACAAUAAAAACAAACCAGCAAUCAUAAGGUACUAGCAAUUUCAUUACACGACAUAAUCCUUAAACCACCCAAGGGCUCUUCUAACUCGUUUGCUUGCGUACCGUUCCUCAUGAGCUAAUUCUUCCUCAACCUGUGAUGUGGCUUCCUUCAUGGGCUGUUCAUAAUUGGACUCGUUGUUGGGCUGCCAUUCUUGUAAGUAAUCUGGUUGAUCCGAAUGAAUGUGGAAGGUUGUAUCAUUCCCUCCAUCUUCAAAACUCACCUUGUCCUCAAGGUGAAAAUCGGGAUAAAGUUUACAGAAUGUUUCAAACUCUUCCCAAGUAGAAUUCUCAGGGGAAUUGUCUUGCCACUGGACCAGAACUUGACAGCAUUGCUUUCCUUGGUUAAGCACGGUUCGAAUAGCACAAACUGGAGCAGGUAAAUAUAAUGGCUAAUUAUGCAUACUUGUUGAUGGCAAGGAAUGGGAAGCAGGGUUUUGAGAAUCAAGGAAGGGUUUGAGAAGUGAAAUAUGAAACACUAGGUGGAUCUUAGAACCCCUGGGCAAGUCAAGUUUAUAAGCUCCUGGACCAACUCGAGCUAGCUCAUGGAAAGGGCCAUAAUACCGUUUAGCUAGCUUUUGACAAGAACGAGUUGCCACUGUAUUUUGGCAGUAUGGCUGAAGCUUCACUAGAACUUGGUCCCCAACAGCAAACUGAGCUUCAUGUCUAUGAGCAUUAGCUUUUUGAAUCAUGCGAUGUUGAGCUUGGCGUAAAUUCUCUUUCAAAGAACGGAGUAAUGCAUCCCGUUCACUUAAUGCUUCAUCAAGAGCUUGGAUUGAAGUAGAGCCCUUUGAGUAAGGAGGGAUGGAAGGAGGUGGUCGCCCAAAAAGAGCCUGAAAGGGAGACAUCUUGAUGCUGCUGUGAUAGGAAGAAUUGUAAGAAAAUUCAGCCCACCCAAGUAGAGAUGCCCAUGAGCUUGGUUUUUCUUGAGUGAAAGCGCGAAGAUACUGCUCCAAGCCACGAUUGACUACCUCCGAUUGCCCAUUUGUUUGUGGGUGAUAGGCUGUACUGUGACGAAGGGUAGUGCCACUUAACUCAAAUAACUUCUUCUGAAAAUUGCUUAAGAACAUAGGGUCGCGAUCAGAAAUAAUAGAGGUAGGAAACCCAUGAAUUUUUAUAACCAUAUCCAUGAAUAAUUCGGCUGUCUUUACAGCAGUAAAUUAAGUGGGAAGGGAUCCGAAGUGUGCCGAUUUAGUAAGGCGAUCAACAACUACCAAUAUCACUGAAAAACCUCGCGAAACGGGAAGGCCAGUAAUGAAGUCCAUAGUGAGUUCGUCCCAAACUAAAGUAGGGAUAAGAAGAGGUUGCAGUGGACCCGCUGGUGCUUGAGUAGAGUAUUUGGUCUGUUGACACACAAGACAUUCGGCUACAAACCGCUCAACAUCCAUACACAUUUUAGGCUAGAAAAAAGUAAAUGCUAAGCGGACCAGCGUGCGUUUGAUGCCUACAUGCCCCGCAAGUGGAGUAGAGUGGAAUUCAGCCAAUAGAACUUCUUUCAAAGAUGAUGAUGAGUUGAUAUAAUAGCAAUUGCGGUAAAAAAGAAAUCCAUUAUAUAGCGAAUAAUCCCUUGAAAGAGUUCCCGCAGCAAAUUGUUGAUGAAGGGCAAUCAUAUCCGAGAGAGUGGAAUUUUCUAAGUUUAGAGUUGCUAACAACUCAAACAAAGGACGACUAAGAAGAGGCAAACAAGAAGCAGUCACGGUUGAUGUGUCCGCACCAGCUUCCUCAUGAACUCGUGAUAAAGCAUCGGCUGCAAGAUUGGUACAGCCCGGUUUAUAUUCAAUGCGGAAGUGAUAGCCUAAUAAUUUUCUGAUGUAGAUUUGCUGAUCUGGAGUUUGAACUACCUGCUGUAGAAGUUCUUUAAUGCUUUUAUGGUCAGUUCGGAUGACAAAAAAUCUGCCCAAUAAGUAUUGUCGCCACUUGUGCACUGCCUCAACAAUAGCAGUUAAUUCCUUGAUGUAGGUAGAAGAAGCACGAAGUCGAGGGCCUAAUUUCUUAUUGAAGUAAGAUAUGGGGUGCCCGGAUUGCAUAAGCACAGCCCCUAUACCCACAUUAGAUGCAUCAGUUUCAAGGAUAAAGUCAGCAUCAAAAUCUGGUAGCCGUAGCACAGGGGCUUCCACCAUUGCCUUCUUAAGAGCGUCAAACGCUUCAGCUGCUGUUUGUGUCCACUGGAAGGCAUCUUUACAAAGUAAAUCAGUAAGGGGGGCUGCUAAAGACGCAUAUCCAUGAAUAAAUCACCGGUAAUAACCCGUUAAACCCAAAAAACCUCGAAGUUGUUUUGUAGUCUGAGGAGUCUGCCAAUAAACCAUAGCUUCAAUUUUCUAAGGGUCUGCCCGCACACCAGAGGCCGAAACAAUGUGGCCCAAGUAAUCAAUCUUUUCUUGGCAAAACAAGCAUUUGGAGAGCUUGACAAAGAACUGGUGAAAAUGAAGGCACACCAAUACUUGUUGAAGAUGCCACAACUGGUCCUCUGCUGUAGCACUGUAAACCAAAAUGUCAUAAAAAAAAACAAUCACGAAUUUACACAAAAAAGAAGCGAAAAUCUAGUUCAUAGUAGCUUGGAAGGUAGAAGGUGCGUUUGUUAAACCAAAUGGCAUGACAAGGAACUCGUAGUGGCCCUCAUGAGUGCGAAAGGCCGUUUUAUAAAUGUCGCGGUGGUGCACGUGAAUUUGAUGGUAACCAGCCUGUAAAUCCAACUUGCUGAAAACUGCUGCCCCGCCUAACUCAUCAAAUAAUUCGUCGAUAGUCGAAAUGGGAAAUUUAUCUUUGAUUGUCACGGCAUUUAAAGCUCUGUAAUCAACACAGAAGUGAUAAGUUCCAUCUUUUUUUUUAACCAACAAGACCGGUGGCGAAAAUGGACUAUGACUCGCUUGAAUGAUGCCUUGUUCUAACAUUUAACGGACAAGUUUUUCCAUCUCAUUUUUUUUUUGGAAAUAAGGGUAGCGAUAAGCGUGGACAUUUAUUGGAGUGGUAUUUGGGAGGAGAUGGAUUUUAUGAUCAAUUGUGCGAUGCGGCGGCAGUGUAGUAGGUGGAAAAAAUAAGUUGCGGUAGCUGUGUAGGAGGUCGAUGAAGGGUUAAGUUAAAUUUGCACGUAAUUCGAAGGAAGAACUCUCUGGAUUACUUGCCGAUUCCUCCCCAAAUGCAGGUACCUAUUGCAGAGCAAACACGCUAUAAAUAUCCGCAUGGUGGACUAAAGAUUGCAACUGAUUAAAGGUGAUUAGGGAGGGAGUAGUGGCUAAAUCGCCUCGAAGAGUCACUGGUGCCCCAUUCCAACAAAAUUCCAUAGAUAGGGCAGAGUAAUCAUGCGAGACACGGCCCAAGAGUUGCAGCCAUUGGAUUCCCAGCACCACAUCAGGCCCUUCAAUUGGCAGAACAAAGAGAUCUAAGGUGAACACAGUCCCCUGCAACGUGAGAGCAACUUGAGGGCAAAAGUAUUUGCACACCAAAAAAUCCCCAUUGCCAAUAUAAACACGGAAGGGUGCUGUUGGUUGUAUCGGUAAGCCCAUACUCUCUGCCAUUGUUAGUUUGAUAAAGUUAUGGGUACUCCCACUAUCGAUCAACACUUGAAAACUGUGAGAACCAACUUCACCAAUCAAAUGGAGUGAGCAGGGAUUGAUCUGACCCGCCAAAGCAUUCAAACUGGAAAUAUCCCCUGUUAUGACCUCUUCAACCGACUCUGGUGGCAACUCUUGCUCAAAAGAAGUAGGUUCAUUAUCAUCCGUACCUAUAAGGAGCAAAAAGUUACUGCGACAGUGAUGAUUAGCGCUAUAUUUCUGAUCACAGUUAUAACACAAGCCUUUUUCACGCUUGUCACGGAGCUCCGCUGGAGUGAGGCGACGAAUUGGUAAGUUGGGUGUGGGAAGAAAUGGUGGUAACGUGUUUAGUUUAGGGGGUGGAGGAGUAUUUUGUGAAUGAGAUGGUACGUGGACCAUACCAACUGAAUGAUUCGGUUGUGUUGAAGCAAGAGGAUACAGUUGAGGCUGAAAUUUGUGUGACGGGGAGUUUGUGGUAGGUGUGGGUGCUGUGUUGUUCCAUUUUGUCAAAAAGCGGUGUCCUUGUUUGGCCUCUUUAGCACGUGCUUCAUAGGCCCGAGCUAAUGCAAAUGCUUCAAUCAGAGAAGAGGGCCGAGCAAAAAGCAACUCACGACGAAUAUUGGGUUUCAAUCCCGUGAUAAAAAAACUUAUCAGAAGUGGCUCGGAGAUUCUAGUCACUCGAUUCAUUAAAUCUUCAAAGGCGGUCUGAAAUUCAGUCACCGUUGUAGUUUGGGAUAACUUGGAUAAAUUUCCUUGAGGAUCUUCAUAGAGAGAGGCACUAAAACGAUGUUUAAGAUUCUGUAAAAAUGCUUUCCAGGUUGUAAGCAAAUUAUUCAUCUUCAUUCAUUGAUACCACGCUGCUGCUCAUCCUUCCAUAUGAAAAGAAACAAUCCACAAUUGAAGAGUUUCUGGUGUACCAUGAAAAUCAAAGAACUCCUCAAUUCGGAAAACCCACCCGUUUGGGUCAGAUCCAUCAAACUUAGGAACCUCCAUCUUCAUAGAACGGAGCACUGGGGAUAUCUCAACACCACUGGAAUUUGCCUCAGUAGAAGAAGAUAUUGGGUGUGGUUGAUUAGGAGCUCGACCCGUGUUAUUUGAAGACCCCUGGAUCUGUGAACGCAAAUCGUCAAGGCGAGAAUCUACUGUUGCCAUAUAUUGUUGCAGCGUUUGAUGCAACGACAAUGUUUGGCUCUCGAACUAUUCUUGAAUUGUUUUUAACAGUUCAGAGUCCGUCAUGAUGAUAGCAAUGAACAAUGAAAGCACCAAUGAUACACCUCUACGCAACUAAGGAUCUAUCGGAUUAAACUUGCACUCUUCGAGUGAGUGUUGACUCCAAAAAUAUAAAGAUCAGAGAUAAAUAUUAAGAAUGGAAAGACAGGUUGUGAAAGAGAGAAGAGCCAAGAGAAAUAGAAAGAGAUAUUUUAUUUCUUCAUACCCCACACGAAUUCGUUUUGCUCUACAUAUAUUCCUCUAUCUAAGACGUUAGCAAAAAUAUUACAGCUCAGCAACUUCUAACAGAAAAUAUGACAACAAAAACAAACCAGCAAUCAUAAGGUACUAGCAAUUUCAUUACACGACAUAAUCCUUAAACCACCCAGGGGCUCUUCUAACUCGUGUGCUUGCGUACCGUUCCUCAUGAGCUGAUUCUUCCUCAACCUAUGAUGUGGCUUUCUUCAUGGGCUGUUCAUAAUUGGACUCUGUUAGAGUGCAAUUUAUGCACUAGUUUUGCAUUGUUUACUUCCCUUAAUAUCGAUGUUUUGCACUUAAUAAUAAUGAUUUACUUGUGUUUUACUUUUGUAGGUGCAAUUCUAUUGAUUCGUGAUAAAAUUGAGUUAUAAGAUGAUGUUUAAAGAUGAUUGUUCUCUUGGAGAAAUUAAGAGAGUCAGAAGAACUUUAUUGAUAAGGCAUGGGCGCGUGCUAUCAACUGCGGACCUGCGGCUUUUAGUUUAACGUGUUUUGUAUUUUUGGCUAUUUUUGUAAUUACGAAUUUAAUAUUUAAGAUAUUAGUAUUUUAUUUUAAAUAGAACUCUAAAAGAGAAGAGAGAGAGAGAUUUUAAGGAGGAAUCUAUUGUGAAAGAGGGGGAUUUUUGGAUUGGAGAAAAAGAAACCCUAGAUCUAAUUUUUCUCUUCUCUCUAUGAGGAACUAAACCCAUUUUUCUGGUUGAAGGUUAAUGAAGCUUUGAUUCAUCACUACUGUGAGAUCUUUCUUGUGCUUUAAUUGUUUUAUUACUUUUUGGGUAUUUGUUUAUUCUCUAAAUUAUUUUCAUGAUUAUGUUUGUUAAUUAGGUAAUUGGCCACUAUUUAAUUAUCAACUUAAUCUAUUGUCAAUUAAAGGAUUCAUCGUAUGAAGAAUUUGAUGUUUGUGACAAAUAACAUAGCAGAGAGUUGUGUUGUGAGAAUAAACAAUCUAAUUUAAAUGAAUCAUCAUAUGUGUUGAUUAGGAUUUGGGUCUCUCUGGUUUCUUAGGCUGUCAAUUGAUUAAAUUCUAUGAUCGUAUCUAGGGUUGUCUAUUGAUUAGGGAAAUAACCAACGGUCGUACCUUGGUUAUCGACUAGUUAAGGAGAGAUUGGCUAUUAGAGGGUCUCAGUAGCUAUAACCGAUCUAUUCAUAAGUAAUAAUAAUAAUCUAUAUUUGAAUCAAUGAUCAGUAGUCGAAUCAAGCUGAGUUAAUUCCUUCAACCAGAGCUUUCUCCAAUUUGAAUUACAACUUUAAUUUGCAUUCUUGUUUAUUUCAAUUUGAUUUUUAUUAUUGUCAACAAUUCCCCCAUUUUACGUUUUAUGUUUCAAAAGGAUUUAAAUAAUUACCGAUCUCUGUGGACACGACCCUGCUCAAUCACUAUACACAAUUUAUUUAGAGUAUGAAUUUAUUUUUGUUGGCUUCGACAUCCAUCAGACUCGUUGUUGGGCUGCCCUUCUUGUAAGUAAUCUAGUUGAUCCGACUGAAUGUGGAAGGUUGUAUCAUACACGCCCUGAAAAUCUGAAACUGAAUUACUCAAAUGAAUAUGCCUCUUCACAGCAAUUGGUUGAAACUUUACUGCAAAGACUUUUUGAAACCCUUGAAGAUGAUACUCUACCUGAUAACACAAGGAAACACAAUCAAUAUAAGAAGAUGAUUUUACGAAAAAAUGAAAGCUUGCCGUUAUUGGCAGAGCUCUACUCAAAUUUAAUGAGAUAUCUCUUAGGAGGGAGAGCUCUAAUAAUAUAUAAAGCCAAAAAUCUGAAAAUGUCUAACACUCAUCAAAUUGGCUUGUGAAGAAUUAAUCUUCCUUGCCAUCAUACAUGCCAGGUGUGGUGAACAAUCUUCAUUCUGACAUUUGCUUUAAUAAGCUGCUUAGUAUCCUUAACUUGAUAACUUACACAAACAAAAACUGUGAAAAUAGGUAGAGAAAAAGGUUAUGGAAUAAUUCUCUAUUUCAUAUCUUCAUGAGACUGUACGCAGAAUAUUACACACUGAUUUCUAGGAAGCAAUAACUUUAUAUUUACACCAAAUAUACACCUAAAUAUAUAAGGAAAACCAAAUCAAUUUGAUUGGGUCAACCUUUCAACACUCCCCCUCAAGCUGGUCUAAAAAUGUCUUUCAUGGCCAGCUUGCAAACCAAUUUCUCAAAAUGUUUCUUAGGUAGUCCCUUGGUGAAUAUAUCAGCAAUCUGCUCAUUUGUAGGAAUAUAGGGCAUGCAGACCAAACCACUGUCUAGUUUUUCUUUUAUGAAGUGUUUGUCCACUUCAACAUGUUUAGUUCGGUCGUGGAGUACUGGAUUAUGUGCUAUUGCAAUGGUAGAUUUGUUGUCACAAUAUACUUUCAUAGGUAGUGAAUUACUUGCCUUAAGUUCUUCAAGAAUUUUUUUGAUCCAAAAACCUCACAAAUUCCUAGAGCUACUGCUCUAUAUUCUGCCUCUACACUACUUUUUGCUACCACAGUUUGUUUCUUGCUGCGCCAAGUGACCAAAUUUCCUCCAACAAAGGUGCAGUAACCAGAAGUGGAUCUUCUAUCGGUUACACUACCAGCCCAGUCAGCAUCAGUGUAGACUUCUACUUGUAGGUGCCCGUUUUUUCUGAACAAAAGACCUUUACCCGGAGAUCCUUUUAAGUAUCUAAGGAUUCUAUAUACAGUUUCAAAGUGUUCUGGUCUUGGAGCAUGCAUAAACUGGCUGACUAAGCUCACUGCAAAGGCUAUGUCCGGGCGUGUAUGUGAAAGGUAGAUUAAUCUACCUACAAGGCGUUGGUACCGAUCUAUGUUGGUCACAUCUUCAAUUUUAGCUGGCUGUAAUUUCGUAUUAGGAUCUAUGGGUGUCUCGGCUGCUUUACAUCCGAGUAGACUUGUCUCUUCAAGCAAAUCAAGAACAUACUUGCGUUGAGACAUAACAAUCCCAUCUUUUGAUCUAGCAAACUCCAUGCCCAAAAAAUACUUCAGGUUGCCUAAGUCUUUGAUUUCAAAGUCACGUGCAAGCACUUUCUUUAAUCUGCAAAUCUCAACUAAGUCAUCACCAGCCAAAAUUAUAUCAUCUACAUAUACAAUUAACACGGCUAAUUUCCCUUCAAUAGAAUGUUUGUAAAACAUUGUAUCAUCUGCCUGACUUUGGGAGUAGUCGUGUCCCUUUAUAACAUUACCAAAGCGUUCAAACCAUGCUCUAGGAGACUAUUUAAGCCCAUACAAAGACUUAUGUAGUUUACACACUUUAUUGCUGCCGUGAUUUCCCUCAAAACCUGGUGGUAAAUCCAUAAAGACUUCUUCUUCUAGCUUCCCAUUCAGAAAAGCAUUUUUAACAUCUAACUGGUAUAGAUUCCAAUCAGAAUGUACAUCCAAUGAGAUAAGGACCCGGAUGGAAUUUAUCUUUGCAACGGGGACAAAGGUUUCUUGAUAAUCAAUUCCAUAGGUUUGAGUGAACCCUUUUGCUACAAGCCUUGCCUUAUAUCUCUCAACACUCCCAUCAGCAUUACAUUUAAGUGUAAACACCCACUUACAACCCACAGUUUUCUUUUCUUUUGGUAAAUCCACAAUCUCCCACGUACCAUUCUUCUUUAGAGCAUUCAUUUCCUCUAAAACUGCUAACUUCCAAUCUGGGUGGUCUAGGGCUUCUUUUAUGGUUUUAGGAAUUGGUAUCUGAGAGAUUUUUGUGGUAAAGGCUCUUUGUUUAUUGGACAACUUUUCAUAGGAAACAUAUCUAGCAAUGGGGUGCUUAGUACAGGUUUGGGUUCUUUUCCUAUGUGUUAUAGGUAAGUCAAGAUCAGGAAAAAAAGUGCUGGAAUGUUUAGGAGAAGAAAUGUUACCUGAAUUUUCUGAGGAAUCAGUGCUUGGAGGCGACGAUUGAGGCUGUACCAAGUUUAUGAGAGGGUCUUUACUGCUGUGAUGAUACUUUCGAGUAUAAACACGAAGCUCUGGUGGUGGAAUUUUAUCUUGUAGUAUUUCUCCCCCUGUCUCGGGUACAUUAACACUUGGUUCCUGUAGUUCAAGGUUUCCUAGGUUUUCAUUAUUAGAAAUAUCAGUUUUUUGAGUUUGAGUUGAAGUGCCCAGAUCAGGUAAAAACAUAUUAGGCAUAGGUGUAGAAGUAUGCCAAAAAUGAUCUUCACUAUUUUCUUUCUCCCCCUGAAGAGAAUUUGGGCCAAAAAAAGGUUGAUUUUCAAGAAAUAUAACAUCCAUACUGACAUGGAAUUUCUUUGUUUAAGGAUUGAAACAUUUGUAACCUUUUUUAUUAGGAGCAUAGCCCAAGAAAACACAUUUUUCAGAUCUAGGAUCCAAUUUAGAUCUAAGAUGGUUAGGAACAUGAACAAAUACAGUGCACCCAAAGACUUUUAACUGAAUAUUGGAGGUAAUCCUACUAGAAGGAUAUAUAAGUGUGAAGUAUUCUAAAGGUGAUUGAUACUUUAAAACACGGGUAGGCAUCCUAUUAAUCAAAUAACAUGCUGUUAAAACAACAUCACCCCACAAAUAUUUAGGAACAUGCAUAGAGAGCAUGAUAGCCUGACUAACUUCAAGUAAAUGGCGGUUUUUUCGUUCCGCAAUUCCAUUUUGUUGUGGAGUAUCACGACAAGUGGAUGUGUGAAUUAUACCCUUUUCCUUACAAAACACCUCUAGAUAAUUAUUAAAAUAUUCAGUACCAUUAUCUGUAUAGAGUAGGCUUAUUUUUGUUUGAAAUUGAUUUUCAACCAUGUUAUAAAAAUCUUUGAAUAACCCCUCAACUUCAGAUUUUUCUCUCAUUAAAUAAACCCAACAAAGCCGAGUAUGAUCAUCUAUGAAUGUUACAAACCAUUUUUUUUCCAAUUAAAGUGUUGAUUUUUGAGGGUCCCCAAACAUCACUAUGAAUUAAAUAAAAAGGUUUUGAGGCACGAUAAGUAAGUGCUUUAUAUGAAACUCGAUGACUUUUAGAUAAAAAACAACUUUCACACUGAAAAGUAGUACAAUCAACAUUUUUAAAUAAAUCUGGAAACAAAUAUUUCAAAUAAGGAAAGCUAGGGUGUCCUAGUCUAAGGUGCCAAAGCAUUAUUUGAUCCCUAGCAGAGUUUGAACUAAUACUACUGCUCAAACCUUGAGCUUGUUUAUUCAUUGAUAAGUAGUCAUCAAAAUAGUAAAGACCUUCUCGCAAACUAGCACUGCCAAUCAUCGUCCCCAAGUCCCUGUCCUGAAAUUCACAAUAGGAGUAAAAAAAGACAGCACAACAAUUAAAAUCUUUGGUUAAUUUACUGCCAGAUAACAAAUUGCAAGAAAGUUUAGGGACAUGUAGCACAUUUUUAAGCUCAAUGGUUCCAGAGAUUUUUAUUGAUCCUUUUCCAGCUAUGGAAGAUAAGCUUCCAUCAGCAACUCUUACCUUUUUGUUACCAGGGCAAGGAUAAUAGGAAUCAAAUAAACUAGAAAUGCUAGUCAUAUGAUCAGAAGCACCCAAAUCAAUAAUCCAUGGUGCAGUAGUUGAGUGGCUAAAUAGAGCAUUAAUAAUACUACCUGUUUGGGCUAGUGAACCACUAGGAGUACUAGGUGGAGGAUUAGAAGUGAGCAACUUUAUGAGAUGGUCAAUUUGCUCCUUGCUGAGAUUUUUUUCUAGAUUCUCCACUUCAUUGGCAGACGCACGGCUAUGCUUGCUGUUUUUCCAGUUUGCAGGCUUUUCGUGGAGUUUCCAGCAAGCCUCCCGAGUAUAGCGUGGUUUAUUACAGUAAUCACACCAUACUCGAGGUUUUUGUUGCUGUUGAGUGAUGGAGCGGGUAGCAUUAGCAUCUGCUGUAACAAGGGCAGAUUUUUCCACAGAGACAACGGAGUUCGUUUUUCCCAACAUAACACCUCGACGACUUUCUUCUCUCCUUACUUCAGAGAAAACAUCCUCAAGAGUAGGAAGUGGCUUUCUCCCAAUAAUUCUUCCUCUUACCUCAUCAAAUUCAACAUUGAGCCCAGCCAGGAACUUGAAGAUUCGCUCAUUAUUGACAAUUUGUUUGUGGUGUUUAAAAUCUUCCAUUCUCUCCCACUCGUAGUCAUUGAAUAAGUCCAGAUCUUGCCACAAUCUCUUUAGAGUAUUGAAGUAUUUUGUUAUACUAUAAUCUCCUUGACGAAUAUCUCUAAGAGCAAGCUGCAACUCAUAGAUCUGGGACUAAUUUCCAUAGUCAGAGUACAUCUGACUCACAUUAUCCCAGUGUUCUUUUGCAGUAGAGUAGCACAUAUAAUUUGCACUAAUGUCUUCAUCCAUGGAGUUGACUAACCACGCCAUAAUCAUGGAGUUUUCGGCAUCCCAAACACCAUAAGAGGGAUCAGAUAUUUCAGGAGCCUUAACAUCUCCGGUAAGAUAACCAAUCUUCCCUCUUCCCCUAAUAUACAUUCUAACCGACUGAGACCAUCUUUGAAAAUUUCCUUCAUUCAGCUGGAUAGUUGUAAUCUGGACAGAAAGAGAUUCAGAAUGGGAAAUUUUUUGUUCUAGUCUUUUUGAGGUGACUGUGGUUUCAGAAGAUUGGUCAGACAUGGUAGGGAAGAGAUUAGAAAGAAAGGGAGCCUAACUCUGAUACCAUGUGAAAAUAGGUAGAGGAAAAGGUUAUGGAAUAAUUCUCUAUUUCAUAUCUUCAUGAGACUGUACACAGUCUUAAUAUAGGGAUACAAGAGACUAAGAAAGGAAAGAAAAAAUUAAAGCAGAAUAUUACACACUGAUUUCUAGGAAGCAAUAACUCUAUAUUUACACCAAAUAUACACCUAAAUAUAUAAGGAAAACCAAAUCAAUUUGAUUGGGUCAACCUUUCAACAAAAGCAACUUUACUAAAGUUUAUUCCUUAAAGGCAAAAUAGUAAAGAAGAUGAUAUAUGCUGAUACAAUAAAUUGACCUGAGUUAUCCUGAUGUCAAGAAUCACAGCACCUCAUGUGGGCAAAAUCAUCGCAAUACAAGAUGCUGAAUUCAAGCAACAUCUUAUCACCUGUAAUUUAAUUAAGACAAUAACUUUCCUCAACUAUUACCCUUCUCAAUUUCAAUGUAUUAUUGGCAACUAAAUUCAUAGGGGACGUAGCUAAUUAAAUGCCCUUUUAACAAUAUCUUCCCCACCUAACAAUUAUUUGGAAAAUCUAAAUGAGAAUCAUGCAUUGAUGGCAUAAAAAAUUGGCCACAAAGCUGCCUAGAAAAAGGCUUUAAAUUCUUAAUGAGACAACGAAUUCGAACAAAUAUGGUGAAUGAAGAGACAAAGGCAUAACACCUCAAGAAGCAAAGCUCUGUUUCUGUAUGUGCUGAAACCAUUGGAAACCCAUGGAAAUGAAUUUCUACGAAUUAGACAUGUCAGCCAAAACAGGUGCUCUGUACGAGCAAAGUAAAAGAGAGUUACAAAAAAUUUUAAGAUAAUUAAACUUUUAAUCACCAUAUAAUUAAUAGAAAACUUUGUACACAAUGAUUUAUUGGAGAUUAAGAUUGUAUACCUAAGUUUUAAUUUCAAACUAAAUAUGCACAACAUGACAUUAGCAUUAGAAGACCGCACCAAAACGUACCGAAUUGAAUGUACCUCUUCGCGGCCAUUGUACAAGCAUUGAAACUUUACCGCAAAAGCUGUUUCAAACGUGAUGCACCUUAGAGAUGCAAGAUAAGAAAUUGUUAUUACAACUAGCAUUGAAACAUGUGUGGAACUGUUAAUGGACCUAAAUAACCUGAAAAUCAGAAAAGAUUAGGAAUGAGUGACUAAGCCUGCUAAUCGCAACUAAACAUACAAACCUUGAAAAUCCAAAAUUGUACUCGAUGAAUGUGCAAUUGCUCGAGCAGGUAACUGUGCAAUUGCUCGAGCAGGUAACUUUACUACAAAGGCUCUUACAAACCCUCAAAGAUGAUAAUCUACAUACCAUGGUAACCUGAAUAAUAAAAAGAAACACAGUGAAUAUUAAAGGGCAUUCUGACAAUGCAAAUUUGUGCAAAUUAACAACUGCGGUUACUUGUAUAAUAGUGUCGAUACCGAAUUCCUUCCUCCAUGGAAGCAUAUGAUCACCCCACAUGUGCUUUGCUCUGUAGCUUUUGAGUACCUGAAAUUGUUAUUACAACCAACCGUGAAAAUUGGGUGAAAAAAUGGUAAUAUUAGCAUAAUUGAAUUUGCUUAUAGAGGAUAAACCGAUCAAAGGAAAAAACAAGAUAGAAAUGAUGAUCUUAGUACCUUAAUAUCAUGUAAUAAUAAUCACCAUGCCUUCCAGGCAGCUAUCCAUCCUCAAUUGAAACAGAGCAGACCUGGCCAUCACUUUCUUCUUCAAAGUCCAGCAACUGAACGUUGCACACAACACCACAGUGGAAGUAGUUCCAACACCAGCCUAAUCCUUGAUUACCCCAAUGUUCUCCAUAGGGUCUUCAAAGUCAACCUAAAAAUAAAAAUGAAAAUGCAAUGCAUUAUUAUUAAGGAUCUAGUGCUUGAGCUUGCUUUGAUAUCAUGGUAUUAGCAAAUUCUGAUAUAGCCAAAAUGGUGAAUAAGAUGAUGUACUUGAUGAGAAAAACUUGAUUUAACAAAUAAUUAAGGAGCCGGUAACAAUCACAGAAUCUCAUCAUGUGGGGAACGCCUUGGCAACAGAAGAUGGUGCUUUCAUACAAGCAAUAGCAACUUUCCAAUUUCAUAAGGUAGUUUAAUGGCACUUUUAAGAACAUUUGUACCAGCCUAACAAUUAUUCAUGGAAAUUAAAAUUCAGAAUCAUGUUAGACUGAGAGAUGAAAUAUAAUAAGCGAUUUGGCCACCAUAUAUGCAUUUAUCACCUUCAAUUUGCUCAUCUUUGUCUAGUGUAUUGCUUCUGCAUUAACUUAAUUAGCUUGCAAGCCACCUUAAAAUGGUUUUAAAUAAAGUGUAAGAGCUCAAAUUCGAACGAAUUAAUCAAAUAUGCUGACAGGAGAAACAAAAGUAAAAUAACCACAAGAAGUAUAAAUAUACUUUUGUUAUAUUCGGAGCAUCUUCUAGCGUCAAGUUCUUUUCCUUUAGCUCUGUUUCUGUUUGUGCUCAAACGCAAUGGCUAAAGGGUCAAGAUAAUUUUAUGACCAUCAAUCUUUUUGCAGCCACAUGCAGACUUGAAAAACUGGUCGUGGCCCUAAGGAACUUGAAAAUUAGAAAAGAUUCAGAAUGAGUGACUAAAUAUUAUAAUCGAAACUAAUUAAACAUACACGCCUAGAAAAUCUGAAACUGAAUUCCUCAAAUGUAUAUGCCUCUUCGCAGCAAUUGCUUGUGGUGGAAACUUUACUGCAAAGACUUUCUCAAACCCUUGAAGAUCACACUCUACCUGAUAACAAAGAAACAGAGUCAAUAUACGAAGAUGAUUUUACUAACAAGUGAGAGCUUACACAUGUUGGAAGGAUAAUGAUUACUCAUAACCCAAAUCCCCAAUACUCCCUAAUAUCUCACUCAAGUGAGUUCGAGCUCCCAGAAUUCACUACUGUGAAACUCUCACAACAAAAUUCUCUUCAAAGAUUCUCUACUCAAAUUUGAUGAUGAUAUCUCUCGAAGGAAGGCAAAAGAAUCUAACACUGAUAAAAUUGGCUUGUGAAGAAUUAAUCUUCCUCGCCAUCAUUCAUACCAGGUGCGGUAACAAUCUUCAUUCUGACAUUUGCCUUAAUAAGCUGCUUUGUAACCUUAACCUGAUAACUCACACAAACAAAAACAACUUGCCUAAAGUUUAAUAUUUAGAGCAGAACAGUAAAGAAGAUGAUAUAUAUGAUACAAAAAUUUCACCUGUGUUACCCUGAUGUCAAGAAUCAUAGCAUCUCAUGUGGGCAAAAUCUUCGCAACACGAGAUGCUUGCAAAAUUGGAGCAGCAUCUUAUCACCUGUAAUUUAAUUGAGAGAAUAACUUUCCCCAACCAUUUCAAUGCAUUAUUGGCAACUAAAUUCAGAGGGUGCUAAUUAAAUACCCUUUUAAAAAUAUCUUCUUAUUCUUCUUCAAUCUAACAAUUAUUUGGAAAAUCUAAAUGACAAUCAUGCAUUGAUGGCAUCAAUAUUUGGCUACAAAGCAGCCUGGAAAGGGCUUUACUCUCUGAAUGAGAGCAUGAAUUCGAAACAAAUAUGAUGAAUGAAAAAACAAAGGCAUAAUACCACAAAAAGUAAAACUUUUUCCCAGGGCUCUCUGUUUCUGUUUGAGCUAAAACCAAUGGAAACCGAUGGAAAUGAAUUUCUAUGAAUUAGACAUAUCAGCCAAAACAGGUAUUCUGUACAAGCAAAGUAAAAUAGGGUUACAAAAAAUUUUAAGAUUGAUAUGAUAAUUAAAAUUGUAAUUAAAAUUUCAGUCACCAUAUAAUUAAUAGAAAACUUUGGACACAAUGAUUUAUUGCAUAUUAAGAUUGCUAUACAAAAUAUAAUAUUAGCAUUACGAGACCGCACCAAAGCAUACCGAAUUGAAUGUGCCUUUUCACAGCCAUUUUACAAGCUUUGAAGCUUUACCACAAAUGCUUUUUCCAACCCGUGAACAUGAUGCACCCGGGAGAUGCAAGCUACGAAAUUGGUACUACAGCAAGCGUUGGAACAUUUGUUAAAAAUGGAAGUUUAAGAAAAUAUGCCAUUGGAUACCUGUCUUCAGGAAUCAAUUCAUCCGUAAUAAUAAUUUUCAAGAAGUAUCAACUGCUUUAAGCUCAUCGACAUCACAGAGAUCUUCAACUAAAAUAGAGCAGAUCCGGCCAUCACUAUCCCUUCUACUGCUCUUUUCCUUUAGAGAAUGCUUGAAUUACAGAAUGCGUGUAAGGCAUUCUUCUUCAAGGUCCAAUGAUCAAACUGUUGGGGAAAAUUAGUUUUUUAAAUUUUUUAUAAAACCUUUUGAAGAUCGCUCUCAUAUAAUAUAUAAGAAUUUGUAUUCUAGAAAUCGUACCUUGAAAAUCCGAGUUGGCUUUUUCCGCUGAAGUGAUUUAGGCUCCUAGAUCAUGAUCCGCCACCACCACUCCUGUUAGAUCACGAUCCAUCACCACCACGCUUGUUAGAUCACGAACUGUCACCACCACGCUUGUUAGAUCACGAACUGUCACCAAUGAUCUUCCAGGUUAUGACUCAGGUUCGAUCUGCACUUGACGUGUGGGCGCCUUUAUCACUACCAAAGCAACUAGCACGAGAAAAAAAUUUUCUCAACAAUAGAGAGAAAAAAAUUUUCUCAACGAUCUUAUUCUCAGAUCUGUAUAAAGUGGCUUCACUCUUUUCUUUAGAGAAAAUAAGUCUUUUAUAUCACCCUUUAGUGAAAACCCUAGGCUCCAAAUAAUCAAAAAACAAAACCCACGUUAUUUGCUUUUUCAAUAGGGGACCCACCUUGUAAAAUAACAUAAGGCCCCUUACACAAAAGCUAAUUAAAUGGAGCCUCCCACUAAAUGAUAUAUUUAGGCUUUUGACCCAAAUAGCUAGUUAUCUUACUUAUUAGUCCAGUAGUGGUGCAGUCAAUUAAAUGAGCUAACCCGGGGAUCAUUUGGGAACAUACAAUAGUGGCUACAAUAAUUAGGCCUAUAAUUAAACUAGCCCAAUUAUUUAAUUCCAAAUCUACUCCACUAAAAGAUUGGAAUUGACUUCCAUUUUUGUAUGCUCGAAUAAUAAUUCGUCCCAAGCCACAUUGAUUUCUUUAUUGCACAAUCAUUUGUACCACAUCGUUAAUUAAAUUGAUAUCUCAACUGUCCAAUCAAUUUAAUAACAUCUUAUUCCUUGAUACUUACUGGUUUUCUCUAAUGAUCAUUUUCAACAUACUAAAUAUGUUGACACACUCUGGCCAGAGAAUUCUAUGAUCAAGUGCCGAAAACCCAUCAAGAGAUGUGUUGUACAAAUUCUAUAUUGUUAAUCUAUAACUCCAAUACUCAUAAAUGCUCCCACCAAGAUACCGGGUAAUCUAGACUACAAGUAUGUGUCAUGCCCAUUGGUAACUCAAAUGGAAUAACAAUUACAAUCAUGAAAUCAUAAUUAACUCAAGAUUAAGAUUACAGUAAAAUCAAUGCCUAUGAGAUUUAAUAAGUCUGACAGUUAUUACAAAGUUAAUUAAAUCUCAUAUGUGAUCCUGUUCAAUGUAGUCGUACUACAUCAAUAAAUUCAUAUAUGAUUAAGACAAAUCAUUUAAUGAAUUUAUUACAGUCUAUACCUAAAUAAAGUGCCCAACUUUAUUUAUCAACUGCGAACAAAAUUUAUUUAAUCAUAAGAUAACUUGUAUUUAUGUCUUCUGUGAAUCCACAUGGUGAUCACAUAAAUACAUAUAAUAUGAUUAAAUGGACUUUAAUAAAAAUAUUAAUGCAAUUAAGAUAUUUGAAUAAAAUACCUCAUUAAUUUUAUUAAUCAGAAAAAAUAUUUAUUACAAUUAAAUAAACACAUAUGCUUUUAAAGAGCAUAUUUUCCCAACACAAACCUUUCACAAUAAAAACAGAGGUAGUAGUUCCUUCGCCAGCCUAAUCCUUGGUCUCAGGAAUGUCCUCAACAGAGUUCUCGAAAUCAAGCUAAAAAUUAAGAAUGAGUUGGAAAACUGUUUAUGGCCCUAAAGAACUUGAAAAUCAGAAAAGAUUAAGAAUGAGUGACUAAACAUUUUGAUCGCAACUAAACAUACAAACCUUGAAAAUCUAAUUUUGAAGUACUCUUAAAUGAAUGAGCAAUUGCAGGAGCUGGUGACAACUAAGGUUACUGUGAAGUGUCUUACAAAUCCUUAAAGAUGAUACUUUACAUACCACGAUAACCUGAUAACACAUAGGAACACAAGGAACAUUAAAGUGUAUUCUGACAAUGCAAAUUUGUGGAAAUUAUCAGCUGUGGUUACCUAGACAAUAUUGCCAACACCAAACUCCUUCCUCAAUUGAAACAUAUGAUCAGCCCACAAAUGCUUUGCUUUGUAGCUUUUGAGAGCCUGAAAUUGUUUUCACAACCAACAAUGAAAAUUGGGUGAAAAUUUUGAUAAUAUUAGCAUAAUUCCAUAUGUUUAUAUAGGAUAAACCGAUCAAAGAAUGAAACAAGAUAGAAAUGAUGAUCUUAGCACCUUAACAUCAUGCAAUAAUAAUCAUCAUGUCUUUCAGGCAGCUAUCCAUCCUCAAUUGAAACAGAGCGGACCCGCCCAUCACUUCCUUCUUCAAAGUCCAGCAACCAAACGUUGCACAAUAACCACAGUGAUAAUCCUUGGUUACCCCAAUGUUCUCCGUAGAGUCUUCAAAGUCAACCUAAAAAUGAAAUAAAAAUGCAAUGCAGAUGGAAAUUGAAAAUUCUAUAAAUUAAAUAAAAUAAAAAUGCAAUGCUUUAGCAUCAUCAUAAUAGUAAAUUUUUAUAUACCUUUACUUCUCUGUUCUUGUUUAUACACAACAAGAUAUCAAUAGAAGAAGAUGGAAAUGAAAUUCUAUAAAAUAAAGCAAGUGAAUUACCAGCAGAACAUUUUAGCAAUCCUUUGGCUAAACUUUUCAUUUUCAUAGUUUUGCUCUCCUGCCUGCAUCAUUAGAACCAAAUUAGCUUGGACCUGCGAAUUGCUAGUGUAGUUCUGACAUUUCCUCGAAUCCCUGGUGAACAUAAUUACACUCGUAUGAAAUAAAACAAAGUGGGCUAAUGUACUACCAAAAACAAUUAUACAAUUACUUUAAAGAAUUAAUGUCACAUAAAUUAUAUAUAUAAAAAAAAUAUGAUUAUCAUUAUACAAGAUAAAAUUGAUAAUUUAGUUUUCAACAUUACUGCAAAUGUAUCACAGAGAUUUUGUCUCUCAAGAAGUUACACAUAACAAAUUUUCGUACAUUAAAAAAUAAAUUACAUUGGGAUUUUCUAUGAUGUUGUAUGAAAUUUUACAAAAGACUGCAUAUUUUUUAGAAGAAAAUAUAAAAAUUUCAAUAGACUAUACUUUUUUUUUAAUUAUUAUUAUAUAACCUUGAUAAUACAAGUUUAAUAGAUUUGAUAACUAGGAAGUUUAAAUUUUAAAUAACUGAAAUUAAAAUAUUAUCUUAAUUAACUUUUGACUUUAUGAAUUAUUGAUUAACUCUAACAGUACAUAUAUAUACCAUGAUUGAUUUUAUAAUUUUUAUAACAGCAUCAUAGAGUGACCCAUUAAAUUAAUGGUUGAAGUAAACAAAAUUCAAUAUGCAAAUCAAAAUAUUAGAAAAAUAUUAUAUAUUCCUGUCAGACAUUGGCAAUAUAUAGAAUUUUAAUUCAAAAUAUAAUUAUUUUUAUUACCGGCGAGUGAUAUCUUACGCCGACAGAAUGAUGUGGGGAAUGUGAGAUAUUUUAUGCCACUUUUCUCCUUUCCCCUCUCUAUAAUGGUUUUCCAGAAGAGGACAUCUGUCAAUAGUCAAUUCCUGCAGCGUCGACGUUCGAAGGAGGUAAUCCGACAGCACCUUUAAUUUGGGGCAAUACCAAAUUCGUAAGGAAGAAAGAUGUGGUCCUGCGAUCUUCUAGAAUGGGCAGUUCUUCUAGAAGAUCACAAGAAUAAAUACUUAGUUCCUACAAAAUUUAACUUUAAGCGACGGACUUUGUCACCAAAAGAAUUUAUGACUGAUUCCUUAGUACCAUUAAUUUCUAGCCACAGGCAUUCUUUGCUACUUACAAACUGAGCAAAAUCAUGUACUAUGUCAUGCAUCUUGAAACUCAUAAUAUUUCUUAAACUCUUGAAAGAAAGAGCGUGCUGCUAAAAUGUUGAAAUACUCUUCUCCAAUCAUCUCCAUUUCUUCGUCUUCUUCUGCAUUAAGGUAAUCUUGAGCCAUCCACAGAUUAAUCAAUUCCUCUUUAUCCAUAUUGCAGUCUUUUGGAAAGACAGUACAAUAUGAGAAACACCGUUUUACCAUAGAAUUGGAGGGUAAAUCGUUAUAACUCAACAACAAAGGAGUCAAAAGACCUUGCCCAAUCUCUUGUACUUUCCACAUUUCACUCCCUAAAAUUCUUUGUCACUCUUUUACUGUACUUUUAGACCGCAAGAGAUUCCCUAUUACCUUUGCAGCAACAGGCAAGCCUUUGCACUUGUGUGCAAUUUUUCGCCCCAUUGGUUCUAAUUUUUCACGAUCCUCAAAAGAACGACCGAAAAAUGCUAACCGCUCGAGCAACGACCAGCAUUCCUCUUCAGCCAAUUGCUCAAUGAAGAUAAUAUUUGUUGAUCCCAUCAUAUGUGCAACUGACUCAUUACGUGUGGUAACCAAAAUUUUACUUCCGUGGAGACCAUUCUUUAGAUAAAGGAAAAAUGGUUCCCAUUUGUUGUAAUCCCCAUCCCAUACAUCAUCUAAAACCAGAAAAAACUUUUUUCCUUCGAUUGAUCUAUGGAUAUGGCUCAUAAGAGAUUGGAAUUCGCUUAAACUAGAAGCUAACUCGCCUAAACCUUCAAUGAUUGCUUUGGCAACCCUAAUCUCCUCAAAAGUGUCUGAUACACACACCCAUAUAACUUUUUCAAAAUUUCUUUUCACCUCAUCAUUAUUAUAGGCCAGUUGUGCAAGAAUAGUUUUACCUAUACCCCCUAAUCCAACUAGUGAGAUGACAUAAAGGCCUUGUUGUUGUUCACUACUUUCACACAACAACUUGCUUAAGAGCUCAUUUUUCUCAUCAACUCUACCGCAAACCUCCCCCUCAUCAAUCAAGGAGGUGGUUCGCACUCGCUCUGGUUUCUUAACAUUGUUGCUCACAUUCUCAACAAAUUUAAACGUAUCUUUUUGGGAGGCAAUAUCAUCUAGCUUUCCAUUGAUUUCCCUAAUCUUGACGGCAAUGUCAUGACGAAGACUAAGUUGUUUGAUACAGCACAAAAGAAGGAGCGUACCUUCUUCUUAUGAGGAGCAAGAGCAAGAGCAUUGUCAUCAUCAACGCCCUCAAUCUGCAAUUUGAGCCUUGCAGUGGUCCACUCCUCCAGCAUGUCUUCCAUGUCGUAAGAUGCGUCUUUGAGCUGAUCCAGCCAAAAAGUAACAGCUUUGUCUUGCUGCAUUUGCCUUUGCUCUGCAUCCUCCAGCACAGCUCGAAUGGCCUGAAGAUUUCUGGUAAGCUUUUUCACUUCUUCUCGGACACCAGUCAGAAGCCUCACCUGUUGUUUCACUUCAUCAGCCGCAACAGAGAUCAGCUGCUCCAGGAGAGAGGAAACGAUCGCAUCAACCAUUCUAACAAAGAAGACGAGAAUUCUAAAGAGUUAUUAGAUGUGCUUUUGUUGCGAUGAUACUGAAAAUGUUUAUACUGCAUAGAAAAUGUUUAUGCUUAUCCCCACCCCACACGUCAAUGAUUGUAGAAUGUUUAAUUUUCCUGAUUCUACUCCACUGGUUAUGAUGCGUAAUUAUAAAUAUUCUCAAGUUAUGUAUGAAAAUAGCACAAAUUUGGACCUACUAAUGAUUUUUAUGAUUUUUGUGUCUUUACUUUUUCAUAAUCUUCUACUGUAAGAGUUCAGAUUUAAUUACUACUUUAAAAACUGAGCAAAAAAAAAUAUCAAGCAUUAAUUAAAAUUCACAAAGGAAUAAAUAACGAAAGAAAAAAAGAUUGGAAAAGUCAUAGAUGUAAAAUAGCACAUUGUUUUUUUAAUAAUCUAAAUAAAAUUAUUAAUAUUCAUGUUAGUCCCUAAAAAAUUAAUAAAUAUAACUAAAAAAAUCUUAUUAGUCUCCAUGAUCAAAAUUUAUUGAAAUAUUUUUAGCCUGGGUUCAAAAAAAAAUAAAUUUCCCAACUUCACACUAGCUAAAUCUAAAAUACACGUUCAUAUAUAGAUAUAUUCUUUCUCGCAGACGUCCGUACAAAAUAAAGUGCGAAUACGACAUUUUCCAGUCUAUCAAAAUGAUUUUUAUUAUUGUAAAAAUAUUAAUAAUAAACUAAAAUAAUAUAUCUACACGUUAUUUCGUCCAGAAAUAUGUAGAGAGAAUAUCUUAAUUUCUAGGGCCCGGCUACGGUGCAACUGUGGUACCGUGCCAUAAUUGCAUCUUACCGUUGGAUGCACUUACAUGGAUGGGGUUCACUGACAUCCAACGGCUGGAUGCAACUAUGGCACGAUACCACAGUUCCACCACAGGUUUUCCCUAAUUUCUAGUAACAUCAUAGUCAAAAUUUUAUCAACAUUUAUGCGAAGGAGUCCCCACUCUCCACCUGGGGGAAUUUGGCAUUUGAUGAAAAAAGUUAUGCUUAUACCCACCCACACGUUAGUGGUUGUAGCAGCAUCUUUGAUUUCCCCGAUUCUACUCCGCCGAUGAACACAUGUUUUGUAGUAACAUCUUUAAAUUCCCACACGUUAGGAAUUUGGCACAUAAUCACAAACUUGUCGCAUCUUUAACGUAUGAGGUUGAUGAAUAUAUUCUUUUCUCAUGUCAAUUUAAAACUCCGAGUGUGUUUCCAACAAUUGCUUUUCUUUUUCUAUUUUUGGAUUUUUGAAUCAUAAUUUUUCAAUUCAAUAAUGGCCUCUUCAAUUAUAAAAUAUGGUAGAAGGGGAUGGGGUGUAGUGUCUAGGCCCCCGCGACAACGGCAUCUUUGGACGUGGGCUUCAUCAUUUCUCCUUUUUUAUUUAAAAAAAAAUUACUUCUUGCAUGAUCUAAUUGGUCUUGUUUCAAAAGAAACAAAAAAAUAAUAAUAAAAAUAACUAAAAUAAAAUAAAAUAAAUCAUAUUCUUUAUCUUAAUUGCUUUCAUUUGUGAUUGACAUGUACUCAUGCAUUGUGUUUUUGUAUAUUUUAUUGAUAUGUUUCCUUAAGGGAUAAACUAAUUAUGUAGCAAAAUUUUAUUAGAGCUAGGAUUAUUUAUAUGUGUUCUAAUACUUUGAACAUCUUACUAUACACUUGUCUAUCAAAUUUUAACAUUAAUUUUUCCUACUCAUUAAAAUAUCAAAAUAGUCAUUGAUAAACAUCUUUCAUUAUUAUUAUUUUUUUUUAUAUAUUGAUAUAUUACAAUUAAAAUUCUAUUCCAAAAUAGUCAUUAACUAGACAUCUUUUAUUAAUGUUCAUUUUUUUAUACACUCAUAUAUUACAAUUAGAAUUCUAUCAAGACUAUCCUUGAUAAUUCUAACAUAGUACAACCAAAAAAUUCUACCCUUGCAAGAUACUAGAGAGAUAUUUAUUCUACUCUUAUUAAUCGAGAGAUAAUUUUACCUCUACCUAAUUUAAUUGGGAGGAAAAUCGAGAGAGAUAUCUAUUCUAUCCUUAUUAAUUGAGAAAUAAUUUUAUCCUUACCCAAUUUAAUUGGUAAGAAAAUUGAAUUCCAACAAUAACUAGGACUCGAACCCAUGCACUUAAGCUAACGUUAAAUGCUUCGACGCAUGGUUAUAAUGUUCUUUAUUUAAAUCCUAAUAAGAGGUGGGACUUGAACUUGUGCCUACAAACAUUGAGUGCUCAGGGCUGCAAAAUUUCACAACUUAAUUUUAAUUCAUGUGGCAUGUGCCCUAUCACAUAAACGUAGAUAAUAAUAAUUAAUACAUUAACAAAAUGAAAAAUAUUAGUUUACAAAAUACAAAUCCUAAUUUUUUGUGUGUGAGAGGGAACCUAAAAAGGGAGAGACUAAACAAAUAUGGUGACAAAUGACAUGUAUUACCAAAACUAAAAACACGAAGUCUAGGCAACUGAAAACAUCUCUGUCAAUUGCAAUGAACAGAUCACAACCCUUCAUAAUUAAUCAAAAUUAAACUUUAAAAAAAAAAAUCACACACACACAAAACAAUCACAACACACUAUUUGUUCUGAUCAUCCCUGCUUUUUCUUAGCGUAGCUCUUGGAAUGAAAAUUAACAAAAAGUGUCAAGAGAGAAGCAUUAAACACAGCAUUGAAGCACCAACCCAAAAUCCCUGACCAUCCAAAUCCCGUAAAAUGAUAAUACAGCAUCAAAACCGAAACAACAAAACUAAACACAAAUUGAACAAUCUGACAAUCAUGAGUGACCAAUCUCUUCCACUUUGGCCGCAACUCCAUCACACACAAUAGAUAGUGCCCGUACAUGAUCACGUGCACACUUGCAUUGGUGACAAGUGCCAUACGAAACAAAGACUGCUUCGUCUGUAACCAAAGGUAGCACAUUACGACGACGGUUGCAUGGUGGUAGACGUGGAGGAACGUGAGCCGUUGGACGGAGUUUUAUUUGAAUCAAUAAGGUGUUUGGCACGAGAGAAAGUGAAAGAAAAUUAAGAAAGAAAAUUUGACUAUGAAGUUUCUGGAACAAUCACAGAUUCUUAUUGAUUAAAGCUGAAAUCAUACAUUAUGAGCGUACUAGUCACUAUUUAUAGUCACACUCAAACUGAUUACAGAAACAAAGCUCAAAGCUGCAAUAUUAACAAACUAAUUAGCCUUCCAAUCAUAACAAGCCAGCUGGACAAUUCGUUACAACUUAUUCAGUGCAAAUAACAGCCCAAUCCAGCUCAGCAACUUAGUUACAAAACAUCAGUCAACUCAGCACCUUCAGCACGUCACCAGCCAGCUCAGCAGCUUCAGCUUAUACUCUUAACAUCCCCCCUCAAGCUCAGCCUAGUGAAGUCAGGGUGAGCUUGUCUCUCAGAUAAUGAAAAGGGUGAUAAGCUAAAGCUUUAGUAAGGAUAUCAGCUGAGUUAUGAGAACUUGGAACAUAACUAACUUGGAAGCUUUUAUUAGAGUUAAAUUUAAGUUCUUGGAACAUAAAUAACCUUUUUCUCGCAAGAAAUGAACAUCAAGUUCUAUGUGUUUAGUUCGGGAGUGGAAUUUAGGAUUACUUGCUAAGGCAGCUGCACUUUGGUUAUCACACCAAAUCAAGAGAAAUGCCAAUUUCAGCCAACAAGGACUUGACUGUUUCUGUAUAAACAUCAAAUUCAGUAAAAAAAGUUGUUAUCUAAUGACAAAAGAAUUUGUCUAAAAUUCCAAUUGAACGCAUAUUAAGUAUUUAAUACCAAGUAAAAUCUGAGAUCAAAGGAAAUUCUAAUAUGACAUCUAAUAGCUAAGUAGAAAAUAAAUAUAUUUAAUGAGGGUAUCUGUGAGAAGAAAACUGAUUUUCUAUUCAGAUAUUUUAUCAUUUAGAUAAAAUUGAAGAGAUUUUACUUUUUCUAUUCAGAUAAAAAUGUCUUACAAUAAAACUCCACGUAAAUUUUUCAAUUUAGCGAUAGCAUAUGGAUCCGAUCCAUUUCUUGUCUAUAUGGCGGAUAAGUUUUAUUAUCGGGUAGACAAAAGCAAAAGCCAUUAUCUUACUAAUUCAUUUGGUCUAUUGAAACUCCAAGAUCUAAUUCAAAGAGCGCGACUCAAAUAAUGGCAAUUAGUAAUUUAUUACAUCUGCAGUUAGACACUUUGUUUGAGAAAAAAGAAUAAAAUCAGUUCCAUAAUGAUUUUAAUUACAAUAAAUAUCAUACUAUGGUCUAUGGACACGCCUCAUAUUACAAAGAAAAUACGUGAAAUAUGAUUAAGGGAUAAAGCUUUCGACAACCAUUUAUAAAAUUGCUUUUGAAAAAUUGUUCUGAUGAAAUGAAAUUAUAUGAAAUUACUAAGAAUUUAAUCUGCCUCUGAAGGAGGAUUAAUUUUAGAUGAUUUUUCUAUUUAUAGCUAUUAUGUAGUCGUUAGAAAUUUCAAAUUUUGAGAAUUUUGCUUGUAGCUACAGGUUGCAGUCAUUUUGAUUUGGAGACUGAUUGAUAAUUAAAGCUAAUGUUGCAAGUAAAAAACAAAAUGAAAAAUAAUUAAAAAAAUAAAAAUCAAGGAGUUAGGCCCAAACUUUAUUAAACUUUUAAUAAAGUCUAUUUCUCAUUUUGUCAUAAUGAAAAAUAAUUAAUAAAAAAUGAAACAACCAGUUUACUUUGACUUUAUUUCACAGAAUAUAAUGUCUGAAAUUUAUAUAUCAUGUAUUCUAGGGUCAAAUCAGUCUUUUUGCACAUAACAUUUAAUAUUUCAUUAAGAAACCGCAAAGAUUAUUUCAAAGCCUUUAGGGUCAUGGUCUCCUCCGGAAGUGGCAAAUUCAGGUUCGGAUCAACCCGAUCAAGUUUCAAUUUGAUUGGGUUGGAAUAUUUGGAUUGGAUCGUAUUGAAUUAAAAAUUCAGGUUGAGUUUGGAUAUGAUCGGAUUAUAAUUAUAUGCGGGCCAUGUCAAGUUUGGAUUAAAAUUAGAUUUGGGUCAAUUAGGCUGAAUUCGAAUAAUGUUCGGAUUAGGGGUAAAUUUUGAGCUUGUUUACUUUUAUUUAUAUUUUUUCAAAUUACUUUAGUCAUUGAAGAUUGUUUUAAUGUAAUCAUCUCAUUUUAGUUCGUUUUUACCAAUUUUCAGCAAAAAAUGAAAAAAAUUACUGCUAUGAAAUCAAAUGAAUAAAAAUUAAAAUAAACUACUAUUAUCGAAUCGAAUCUCCAUCUCUUUGCCCUCUUCUGCAUUAAGGUAACCUUGAGCCACUGAUAGUGUAAUUAGUUCGUCUUUAUACAUAUUGUGGUCUUUUGAAAAGCCUCACUUGUUCCCUUCAUCAGCAACAAAGGAGUUCAGCAGCUCCAGGAGAGGGGAAGCGAAUCAAGCGAUCAAAGAAAAGGAGAAAUAAUUUGAUGAGUUAUUAAGCGUGCUUUUGUUGCGAAAAUACCGAAAGAAAAGGAGUUGUCACAUUCUUUUUAUACUGCAUGAAAAAUGUUUACUCCUAUCCUCUUGUAUAUAAUAGUUUAAAUCUCCAAAAUUUUUCUUUAUUUGAGUUUUAAAAAAGUUAUGUGAAUUUACUGUAAUUAUUUCUUGGGAGUGGGGGUGGAUUUACAAAAAUUGCAGGGUGAAAAUAUCACUACCCUUUUUGUUUAUUAAUUAUUGUAAAAUGCACAUCUUUCAUAUGAACACAUGUUUUUUUUUUUUAAAUUUACCUCCUACUUAGAAUGACAGUCUUUAAUUUUUUUUUUAGAAACGUGAAACAUCAAUUUAAAUUGUUUACAUUAAGAAGACAAUAUGUAUGUGUGUGUGUGUGUAUUCCUUAUCUUUUGAACAAAUAUAAGGACAAAUUGAUGUUUUUACCCUUUAAGAAGUAAAUUAAAGUUUGUUAUUCUAGUUUGGCAUUAAAAGAAGCUUAGCCCUGUAAUAUAUAUCAUGUAGACCAAGGUGACUUCGUCGUGAAUUCUUGUAAUCAAUUUCUUUUGUUCUUUUAUCUAACUAGAAAAGAAAAUUAAGGGGAGCAUUGUCUAUCGAAUUGAGCUUCUCUCAAGAAAAAUACGUACGGAUGAUUUAUAUAUAACCAUUAAAUAUGUUAAGACAUUUUGUUAUUUUUUUAGUCCUAAAAGUAUGAGAGAAAUUAACAUUUUUUGAAUUUAUUUAUAUACCAUAAAUUAAAGAAUGAAAUUAUUUACAAAAUUAUUUCAACUUUCAUGAUUUAAACAAGCAAUCAUCAUUGAUUUCAAUACAAAGAAGUAUUUCGGGUAGAACCGAUUUCUUUACCAAGAUAUGAUGUACAUGUAUUUGGGACUUCUUACUCUAUUAGCUUAAAUAACUACAUAACAAAUAUGACAUAAUCUAAUUGGUCUUGUUAUUGACAUGUACUAAUGCAUUCUAUUUUUGUAUAUUUUAUUGAUAGGUUUCUCUUGAGGUUGAGGAUAAUAUUCACUGUGUGGCAAAAUUUUAUUAAAACUAAGAUUAUUUAUGUUCUAAUACUUUGAACAUCUUAAUAUACACUCAUCUAUAAUAUUUUAACACUAAUUUUUGGAUAAAUUAUAUUUUAACCCCUUAUGAGAUUUACAUAUUUUAAUUUACUCAAAAAUAAAAAAUAAAAACUUCAAUUUACUCUCUAAAAUCUGUUAAAUUUAACUAUCAACCAAUAUUGACUCACUAAAAUACGAUAAUACCCCUGUUAAUUAUAGAAUAACUUAUGUUACUGAUAUAUUUAUGUUGGAAAGAUAUAUCACUUAUAUCCCUACUAUUUCUAAAAUAUAACUAAUUCAAACUUUAUGUGUGUCAUUAAUGAAAAUCAUCCUCUAAUCUAUUUUUUAAAAAAUAAAACAAAACCUCAAUAAUAUAUUUCAUAAAACAAGCAUAUUUCGGAAAGAGCUUGCCUCUUUGGUUGUUUUAAAUAACCAACGUAAUCAGUAGUAGUGCUCUAAUAAUACAUAAACCCAUAGACAUGCCAAGUAUACAUUGAUCCAAGCAAAUGGUUGUUAAUAAUUUUAAUGAUUAGUCUGGUUUUGGGGUUCAUUGAUGAAUUUGGGAAGAAGCUAAAGACUGCUUCGUCUGUAACCAAAGGAAGCACAUAACGACGACGGUUGCAUGGUGGAAGACGUGGAGGAACGUGAGCCGUUGGUCGGAGUUUGACAAAAUGAUCAAAAGGGUGUCUAAGAAUUCGAGUAUUUUGGAGAGGUAGAAGAUGUAAGCGUAGAAGAAGAGGGGGCCAGACGGAGAAAUGGUAGGGGGGAAACAGAGGGUGCAAUCGAGGUGGGGUAAAUGGAGGAUGAUGGAGAGAGUGCAACCAACGGCCAUGAUGACGGACAGGAGGAGGAGGGUAAGGUUAUGGACGGCUGUGAUGGGCUUGAGGAUGUGGGGUCCAAUGAAAGGUGAUGAUGGUGGUGAUGUUGAUGUUGAUGUGUGGUAGAGGAUGAAUGUGAGGGAGAGGUAAGUGAGGAUGGAGAGAAUGAGGAAGUGAGGGGAGGAAGCUAGUGUUUGGUUCUGAGUCCAUGUGAAGUUGAGGAUUUGGGGGUGGUUUAUAGCCAAUAUUGGAGUGUUGCGGUAAUUGAAUAUGAAGCCAUGGCUGGUUUUUUGGGGGAGAAAGAUUUGGAAGAGAUGAUGUUGAGAGGAACGGGGGAGUUUAUAAAGUUUUGGGAUAAUGCGGAGGGUAUUUUGGACAUAUUGUUAUCUUAGCUUAAAUUUUCGGAAAAAGAUAAUCAAUAAUAAGCUCUUUUUUCAUGUCAAUUUAAAACUCCGAGUGUGACUCCAAAAAUUGUUUUCGUUUUUCUAUUUUGGAUUUUAAAUCGUAAAUUUAGUAAAGGAAGUUAAAUCAAGUGAUCACUUUUUUUUUUUAAUGUAAAGCAAUUAUUUUUUUUUAUGAUUUAAGCAAAUAUUGAGCUUCGUACUUUAACGAUAUUAAUAUUUGAUUCAAAAUUUCAUCUACUGAAACUACAAAAAUUAAUAUUUUCUAAUAAAUCAAAACUAAAAUUAAAAGAUGACUCAUUGUCUGCCAACUGUCAUUAAACGAAGCCAUCACCCACGCCAAAAAAAAAAAGUGAUAUAUGCAUUUUAACGUAAUUUCAUACCAACAAAUCAUUCUUUUCUUUCGAACAAUGAUCUCUUUAAUUAUCCAGGGCUUUGUGAUAACGGCAUCUUUGGAUGUGAGUGUCAUUAAACUUUUGGCUCAAUCAGACUUGUGGAUUACAUGCACUCAACGUUGAUAAUAUAGAAAUGGGAGAAAAUUAUGUCAGAAAAAUCAAGUCAGUCAAAUAAGAAUUGUGUAUUUUUGAAAAAGUUGAAAAAAAUGGAUUGACGGUGCAUAAUUUCCUAACUCACUAGAAUUUCCUAAAGUAGGAGUAAAAAAGACUCCAAAGGAACAUGGCAAUUAUUAUUAUCUAGGAAAUAAUUCAUAGCUAAAACAAAAUUAAAUUUCCUAACUCACUAGAAUUUAACUGGAGAAAAAUUGGAAUAUACAACGUUGUAUCACAUAUAGUACUUAGACAUCAAGAAAAGAAUCCAUGUAUCAGUGAACCAUACUUGCCAGGAAACACCAGGCGAAUACCACCACCUGGGGUUUUUAAAUAAAGAUGCCUUAAAAGUAGGGUAUUUAGUUAAAUAUACCCCAUGUUUGAAAAUUAUCUAGAUAUACCUUUUUCUAUGGUACAUUGUCUAAAAUAUCCCUAAAGAAAAAUAUAAAACACACACAACUCACCUCCAACACUCUUUACUUCUCACUCUUUUUAACUCCACACAACAAAAACUCACUCCACACUCAAAAUCACUCACGAACAGCCAAUGCACUGAGAUUUUAAUUUGCAGCUGGGUGCAUUAUUCAUCACAUGAAUAAGGUAUUUGAAACUUUAUUUUUAUUUUGUGUUAUUUAUUUAUUUUGUUGACAUUAUAUUAUUUUUAGGGUUUUGUUUGGUUUGUGAUAAACAAUAAAGCAACUCACAUUUUCAUUAUAUUUGCAUCAUAUGACUGUUAUUUGAUGGAUUUUAUAACUACAUUCGUUAAAACCUGAAGUUGCUGCCAAAAUUUUGUUCUGCACCCCGACAUACACGACAGCAGUCGUGUAUGUAUGGAUUUACACGACAACAGUCGUGUAUGUAUGGAUUUACACGACAACAGUCGUGUAUGUAUGGAUUUACACGACUGUAGUCGUGAAAAUGUGCAAAAGAUUCAAAUUAUUAUGACACCCUAUCAUUUUAUUGGUGCAAAAAAUAUAUUAUUUUCAUUAGAUAUAUCAUUUUACUAUUACUAGACUAUAGUAGUGUGUUUUAAUAAGUUACACGACUACUAUCGUGUACGUAUGAACUUACAUAUUAUAAUUGUACAUAUAUGUAAAAUGUUCCAACUAUUAUGAGAUCCCAACAUUUUAUCAGUGCAAGAAAAAUAUUUUUUAAAGAAGAAAUAUGUCAUUUGACUAUUUAUAGUCAUGUAUUUCUAUAACUUACACAACUGUCAUCAUGUAUGUAUGACUUUUGUCAUGUAUGUAUGUAUGAAUUUACACGAUAGCAGUUGUGCAAGAUUGAAAGAUAUAGUAGUUGUUAUGACACAUAGCAUUCUGUUAGUAUAAAGAUUACAUUUUUUUACUAAACAUAUUCUAUAACUGUUUACUAGACUAUAGUUGUGUAUUUUAGCAAGUUACACAACUAUUAUCGUGUAAACUAGCUAUUUACACGACAGCUGUCGUGUAAAUAGACAGAUAGUUCCACACUUCAUAAUAUACCUUGUUUGAUUUUUUUUUUGUAUAAUCAUCUGUUGUAUUAUUACAUGAAGUGACUUCAGUAUGUGUGCCUAUUAUUCUUUAGAAUCAUAAGAAAUUAUGAUAGCAUCACAAGGUGAAGAAAAGUUACGCCGUAAGUACUGUAGGUGUGGUUCUCAAUGAUAUAAUCGACUAACUUGCAAUGCACCAAUCUCAUUGUCUAACAAUGAGCCCGUAGUUAGACCGAAUGAAACAAAAACAAGCACACAUACUACUAUGAACCUUACAUACUUGUCAUUUUUGUUGUUUUAAUUUCUUUAAUAUCUAAAAUAGUUAGUUGAUAAAUUUCUACCUUUUUUGUCUUGCAGCUGGAUAAACAUGUUGUGUGGCUUAUGUUGUUUUCAAAAGGAGGCGAACGGGGCCUUAUAAUACAUGGGUCGAGUGUUUGGGUUGAGCAUGCAAAUAAUUAUGAUGAUUGUGCAGCAACUUCGAUUAUAUUACGACUUAUUUAUGAUUUGAACAUGUAUUGGAUCUAUGUUGUUUGAUGCACAAUUACUUUUGUUAUUUGUUAAAUUGAAGUAUAAUAUGUUAAAGUCUAUAUUGAUUUUGUUGUCAUUAUAAUGAAUGUUUUAGGUAAUUUUAUGUUCUAUGUCCACUUACCCAACUACAGUCGUGUAUUUUGGCUCUUACUCGACUAUUGUCGUGUAUAUCUGAUUGUACUCAACUAUAAAUGUGAAUCUAUUAAAUACUCGACUAUUGUCGUUUAUUUAUGAAAAUACCCGACUAAAGUUAUGUACCAAUGCAAAUACCAGCUGGUCAUGUAUGUUUGCAAAUGCUCGACUGCAGUCGAGUAUCUGUGAAAAUACUCGACUGCAGUUGUGUACCAAUCCAAAUACCACCAGGUUAUAUAUGUUUGGAAAUAUUCGACUGCAGUCGAGUAUCUGUGAAAAUACCCGACUGCAGUCGUGUACCAAUGUAAAUACCAGCUGGUUAUGUAUGUUUGUAAAUACUCAACUACAUUUGAGUAUCUGUGAAAAUACCCGACUGCAGUCGUGUACUAAUGCAAAUACCAGCUGGUCAUAUAUGUUUGAAAAUACUCGACUGCAGUCGAGUAUCUGUGACAGCUGGUCAUAUAUGUUUGAAAAUACUCGACUGCAGUCGAGUAUCUGUGAAAAUACCCAACUGCAGUCGUGUACCAAUGCAAAUACCAGCUGGUCAUGUAUGUUUGUAAAUACUCGACUGCAGUCGAGUAUCUGUGACAGCUGGUCAUAUAUGUUUGAAAAUACUCGACUGCAGUCGAGUAUCUGUGAAAAUACCCAACUGCAGUCGUGUACCAAUGCAAAUACCAGCUGGUCAUGUAUGUUUGUAAAUACUCGACUGCAGUCGAGUAUCUGUGAAAAUACCUGACUGUAGUCGUGAACCAAUGCAAAUACCAGCUGGUCAUGUAUGUUUGCAAAUACUCGACUGCGGUCGAGUAUCUGUGAAAAUACCUGACUACAGUCAUGUAUUUGGGUUGAGCAUUUCUUGAGCAUAUAUGACCAUUCUAUUACAUCACAUAUAUUAUAUAAAACUAUCUUCUCUGUCAUUAAUAUACUUAAUAAAAAAAACAUAUGUAUGAUGUCAAAUUAACUUUAAUGAUAUCAAAUAUCAACAACAUCCCAUUGUAAUCAUUACAUCUCAUGAUAAGUAAUCCAAAAAAUGACACAUCAAUGAAGUUUUUAAGAGUGGGAGACUACGUAGUUUUUUUUUUCCAAGACCUACUCCAAAAUAAUUUGACAGCCAAUGCUUUUUGAAAUUGUGCAACAUCAUCUUGUUGGCAAUAUAAAUUGACAUCAAGUCAGUGGGCCAGGACCUCCAAGAACUGCAACAAAAAUGCUCCACAAUCACCACUAAAAAAAUUCAUAUAAAUCAAUCGUUAAAUAUGACCAUUGUUGUUGUUAAGUCAAAAAAAUAUAAUUUCAGUUUGUAGUAAAAAUAAUACUUCAAACUUAUUAUCACUGUCGUAAUAUAUUAUCAAUCUAUUAAAUGAUCACACAACAUAAAAGCAACAGAUAUGAGAACGUUUUACAACUUAAAAAUGUUCUAUAUAUAAGACAACAUGACUUUCUUACAACUAGUAUCUACAGGAUCAGCAUAACUAUAUUAUUUCAAGAACAAACCCAUCAAAUUAAAAUAUAUUGCCAAUAACUAUGAACUCAAAUAAUUUUUAAAUGAGUUAUAAACAAAAAUAAGAAAUAAACCAUCACUGCCACAUGACAUAAAAAUCAAACUUUAUGUAUCAAGUAUGUUAACAAUUCCAAAUAAAGUAUAAAUAUUCAAAGAAAAUGUUGAAUUUUUCCAUAACACUCAAACAAUUAAUUUUCAUUAGUUCAAUCUGAUUAAUAAGCUAUUAAGUAUGUGUAUAAUUGUCAAAAACUAAAAACAAGUCUAGGAGGAGUGUAUUAAAGGGCAAUUCUCCAAUAGUUAACUAGUUGGAAAUAUAUACAACAACAUUUGCUGCACAAUAAUAUCAAAUCCUAAAUGCUAUGUGACUUCUUCAAUCAAUAGCCUCACAAUGAGACAAAUUAAUAAAAUGAUCGAACAUUGUUUCAAAAUUCACAAGUCGUUCAAAACACAUUUAUUAAUAGUGUACUAUCAAUAGUUUUAUGCUGAAACAAAUAACAAAUUGUUAAUAAAUUAGAAUUGCAAAAUAAAGGUUCUAUAGCAAAUAAUAGAGAAAACCCAGAUUGUAGCAUAAUGAAUGCAUACGCCGCUGAAGAAAAUUGAUAUAUAAUUCCCAUGGAUGAAGUUCAACUACAAACAACAAGUAAAAUUAUAUAAAGAUCUAAUGCAUAAACUAGUGUAGCCAUAACCGAGUAUUCAUAAGGAUAAUAUUUGUUUCAUCCAAUUCUCUAUGAAUAUUUAAUUAGGAACUCCCACAACCAUUAUUAAAGAGCCAUGAAAUCACUCUCUUCAAUUUCAAAUCCACAAGUUCAUUAAGAACAGUGGUACUCCAAUAACAUCAAAAUGGUUGGUGACCACUCUAUCAAAUCCACACAAUAGCUGAUAUCUCAUGUUUGCAUAUAGUCCAAUGAAAGCACCAUAGCCAGGCUCUUUAGUACUUACAGAUGGGAUUGUCACAGCUAACCUGUCAGACAUCAAAUAUGGCCUAAAUUUACAGAUGGGGUUGUCGCGUUAGUGCUUAGACAGUAAACAUUUGCUCUAGUAGCCUGAUUACACAAGAAAUCGAGACAAGUGUUCAAAAUUUUAAUCUUUAUAUAUAGCCAAAAUGAUAAUGUAUUUGAUAAUACUGACCUGAGUUAAUAAAUACGGGGCUGGUGACAAUCACAGCAUCUCAUCAUGUGGGCAAAGCCUUCGCAACAGAAGACGCUGCUUGCUUUGAAGCAAUAAUAACUUUCCAAUUCCAUAAGGUAGCUUAAUGCCCUUUUAGGAUAUCAGCACCAGCCUAACAAUUAUUCAUGGAAAUUCGAUUUGCAUUUAUCACCUUUAAUUUGCUCAUAUUUGCCUAGAGUAUUGUUUUUGCGUUAACUUAACAAGCUUGCAAGCCACCUACAAAUGGUUUUAAAUAAUGUGUGAGAGUGUGAAAUCGAACAAAUUAAUCAAAUAUGAUGACAGAAGAAACAAAAGCAAAACAACCACAAGACGUAGAAAUUCACUUUUGUUAUAUUUAGAGCAUCUUCUACCGUCUUCUUUUCCUUUAGCUCUGUUUCUGUGUGUGUUCAAACGCAAUGCCUCAAGGCUCAAGAUAACUUUUUGACCAUCAAUCUUUUGCAGCCAUGUGCAGACUUGAAACACUGUAGUGUCCCUAAGUAACUUGAAAAUUAGAAAGUUUCAGUAUGAGUGACUAAAUAUGAUAAUCGAAACUAAUUUAAUAUACACACCUUGUAAAUCUGAAACUAAAUUACUCAAAUGUAUAUGCCUCAUCGCAGCAAUUGCUUGUGGUGGAAAGUUUACUGCAAAGACUUCCUCAAACCCUUGAAGAUCACACUCUUCCUGGCAACAAAGAAACAGAGUUAAUGUACGAAGAUGAUUUUACUAACAAGUGAGAGCUUGCAAAUAUUGGAAGGAUAACGAUUACUCAUAACCCAAAUCCCCAAUACACUCUAUUAUCUCACUCAAGUGAGUUCAAGCUCCCAAAAUUCACUACAGUGAAACUCUCACAACAAAAUUCUAUUCAAAGAUUCUCUACUCAAAUUUGAUUAAGCUGCUUAGAAUCCUUAACCUGAUAACUUACACAAACAAAAACAACUUGCCUAAAGUUUAAUAUUUAGAGGCAGAACAGUAAAGAAGAAGAUAUAUAUUGAUACUAAAAUUUGACCUGUAUUGCCCUGAUGUCAAGAAUCACGGCAUCUUAUGUGGGCAAAAUCUUCACAAUACGAGAUGCUUGCAAAAUUGAAGCAGCAUCUUAUCACCUGUAAUUUAAUUAAGACAAUAACUUUCCCCAACUAUUUCAAUGCAUUAUUGGCAACUAAAUUCAGAGAGCGCUAAUUAAAUAUCCUUUUAAUAAUAUCUUCUUAUUCUUCUCCAAUCUAACAGUUAUUUGGAAAUCUGAAAAGAGGUUCAACAUUUUACAACCAAUCAAAAAUCACUGAACCAUUGGAAAGUGAUUUACGUAUAAUUUUUUUUUCCAAACUCUGCCCAAAAUGAUGAAUGAGAUAGGAUGACACAAGAAACAAAUGUAAAUUGACCGCAAGUAGAAAUAUACUUCUAUUAUAUUUGCAACAUCUUCUAGUGUCAAUUGCUUUUCCUUGAGCUCUGUUUCUGCAUGUGCUCUGUUAAGGAAGUCCAAUAUGCUGAGCUCACAGAGAGUAGGAGUAAGAAGGAGAAGAAGCUUCAGUCUCAGUCAGUCAAACAUUUCAGCAAUGCCAGCUCAUCAGAGUUAGUUAAGCAAGUUGCCAGAUCAGCACAAGAUGGUUAAGCUUGUUAUCAGUCAUUUCGUAUGUGUGUGUAACUGAAUGUAAUUAGCUUAAGCUGUAAUCUUGUGCGUGUAUAUAAGUUUAGUUGAUUCAAUUGCAAAGGUUAAGAAAAAUCAAUAAGAAAUAAAGUGAUCUUCUCUCUGAAAAUAAUUUUCCUAAAAAACAAACAACUCAUUUUCUCUUUCAUGGUAUCAGAGCCAUCCAUGGCUAGUUCCAGUACAAUAAAUCAAAAUUGUUCAAAUUUCAAUCAAAUGCAUUCCACACAAACUUCAUUUACCUUUGCCACAACAGUAAAACUCGAUCGAUCAAACUUCCUUCUCUGGCGCAAACAAGUGAUUACUUCAAUCAGAGGGAAUCGACUUGAAGGAUUAAUCUCAGAAAAACAAAAUGUUCCAGAGCAAUAUGUUUCUCAGUCCCAAGCUGAUGGAUCUGUGGAAAGGAUUGAAAAUCCAGCUUAUGUCAACUGGAGAGCUCAAGAUCAGACUCUACUUAGCUGGCUUCUAUCAACAAUCAGUGAAGGUAUCUUAAGCUUAGUUCUUAACCAUGAAACUUCUUUUGAUGUAUGGAGAUCUAUUGAAAAGCAAUUUGGAGUACAAUCUAAAGCAAAAAUAAUGCAACUUCGAUAUGAAUUAGAUACUCUGAGAAAAGAGUCAAUGUCCAUUGAAGAAUAUUGUUCGAAAAUGAAAAUGCUAGCUAAUAAACUUGCAUGUGCUGGAGAUAACAUAACUGAAAAGGAUUUGCUGAUAAGGACACUAAAUGGACUUGGAUCUGGCUAUCUAGAUCUGGCUUCAAUAAUCACAGCCAAUAAGAUGAGUUAUGAUGAUGCGUAUGCACUUUUACUGACACAUGAAGCUAGGCUGGAACAAAAUCAGAAUCCUCAGGCUAUGUUUAAUGCAAAUUAUAGUAUGAUGAAUACAAAUUAUUCACAUAUGAGAGGUGCUCCUAGGAGAAAUGCUUAUGGUAAUAGUAGUGCCAUUUAUGGACAAUCUGGAGGCAGAGGUCAGAUUUUUGGUCGAGGCAUGUUUUCUGCUUCUUAUCCUAGAGGAUUUCCAGCUGGUGGUAAUACUGCUAGUGGUUUUGGUAGAGGAAAUGUUGCAGGUUUUGGAAGAAAUCAGUUCAUGCAGUCUCAUAGGCACCACAAAUGAGGCAUAUGUUCACUCCUGCUAAUACUUCAAAUGUUUCUGAAUCAAGUGAGCCAUUACCUAUAUGUCAAAUAUGUCAUAAGCAAGGACAUACUGCUGAUGCAUGUUGGUAUAGGUAUGGUGAUGCUUAUUUUUCCUCACCUAAACAAUUUGGAAGAGGAAAAAUGAUGGGAUCUAAGACUGCAUAUAUGGCUAAUUUUGAGCCAUUUCCUUAUCAACCAUCUUCAUUUGAAGAUCCUUAUGAAAUCUCAGACUCUAGCUGUCAGUUCAUGAACUAUUCUCCUGUUUCCUCUUAUCCAUCAGAGGCUUUUACUCUGCCUGAAGCCUAUGUUGCAAAUGUUGAAGGCUCAACUGAUGAAGGGUGGUAUCUUGACAGUGGAGCUACACACCAUAUUACCAACAACAUGGCAAAUAUGCAUGUGAGAGAAGAAUUCAAAGGCUCAGACCAAUUGACCAUCGGCAAUGGACAAGGUUUGAUCAUUACUCAUAUUGGUGAUGCAUGCUUUAACCAUAAAAGUUUCAAAUCUGCCUACAAACACACACCUGUAGCACUCAAGGAUAUUUUGUUAGUUCCCUCAAUUACUAAGAAUUUGAUAAGCAUAUCCAAAUUGACCACUGAUAAUAAUCUUUCCAUUGAAUUUGUUGGCAAUAAUAAUCUUUCCAUUGAAUUUGUUGGCAAUGUGUGUUAUGUAAAGGAUUUACUGAAGGGACAAGUACUUCUGCAAGGUCUUGCUGAGAAAGGAUUGUAUAGGCUGCUGUUAAAAUCAUCAGAGUCAUCACAGUCUCCCUCUUCCUUCGUGUGUCAAGUUUCUUCAAAUCAGCCUCUGUCUAUGUUAUCAACAUGUCAUGUUUCUUUUCCUAUUUCAAAUAAUGUUCAGAAUAAACACUCAAGCUCUAAAGCUUGUUUUCAAACUGAUGUUUCCUCUUGUAAUUCAUUUGUCAAUAAAGUUGAUCUUCUUCAUAGAAGAUUUGGUCAUCCUCAUCAUAAUGUCUUCAUGCAUUUGCUUAAGAAUGAUCAAACUAUUAAUCUCUCAUCUUCUCUUAUUAACCAAGCUGCACAACAAAUAUGUGAUGCAUGUCAAAUGGGAAAAAGUCACAGGUUGCACUUCCCUGUCUCAGAAACCAAAACUUCUCAGGUGCUUGAACUAAUUCACACUGACUUAUGGGGCCCUUCACCUAUCCUUUCUAAAGCUGGUUAUGUCUAUUAUAUCAGCUUUGUUGAUGACUUCAGUAGAUACACCUGGAUUUAUCCAUUAAAAUUGAAAUCAGAAGCCCUACAAGUCUUCAAAUUGUUCAGAUUGCAAGCUGAAAAACAAUUUCAAAGUCCCAUUAAAAUGCUGCAAUCUGACUGGGGGGAGAGUAUAGAGCAUUUACUGAUUUUCUGAACCAAAAUGGAAUCAUGUUCAGACACUUGUGUCCCUAUACACAUCACCAAAAUGGGGUAGUUGAGAGGAAACAUAGGCAUGUUGUUGAGUUAGGACUCACACUUCUAGCUCAAGCUAAAUUACCUUUAAGUUUUUGGUGGGAAGCUUUUCAAACAGCAGUUUACCAUAUUAACAAGUUGCCUUCUACAACUCUGAAAUUCUUUACUCCAUAUGAAAAAUUGUUCAAACAUAAACCAGACUACAAAAUGCUUAAAUGUUUUGGCUGUGCAUGCUAUCCAUAUUUGAGAGAUUAUAACAAGCAUAAGUUUGGCUACCAUUCUAGCAAAUGUAUUUUCAUUGGGUACAACCCUUCUCAUAAAGGGUACAAGUGUUUGCAUCCAUCUGGUCAGGUUUAUAUAGCAAGACAUGUUGUCUUUGAUGAGUCUUCUUUUCCUUAUUCCUCAGAUUCUGCUUUUGCUUCUAAUAAAUCAAACUCAUGUCAAAACUUGUCUUUCACUCCUCAGCAAGUGUAUCAUCUAUCCACUUUGCCAUUAUUCUUAACUUCAGAUGAUAACAGCACUCAUAAUCCUAACUCUGCAAGCUCUACCAGUAGCAGUUCUCAUCAUUCAGUUUCUCCUAAUCAUAACAACAAUUCUCAUCUAUUGUCCCAAACAAACACAUUACCAAUCACUAAUACAGAGCCUAAUACAGAACUUCAUACUUCUUUACCAGUUCAGCCAAUCACCACCAACAGACCUCCCAUUUUUCAAACAUUACCUGAAACAAAUCAAAACACAUUAGCUCCAGAAAACACACAACAAUCCAAAACUCCUUUAAACACACGUCCUAUGACCACUAGAGGUAAGAUUGGCAUUUUCAAGCCUAAGCUCUACAAUGUAGCUCUUGUUCAUAAAGAGCCAGAAUCUGUAGAAGAAGCUAUGCAGAAUCCUAAAUGGUUUGAAGCUAUGAAUGAAGAAUAUAGUGCUCUGCUCAAGAACAAUACAUGGUAUUUAGUUCCAAGAUCUGAUGGUCAGAAGAUUGUUGGAAACAAGUGGGUAUAUCGAGUUAAGCAUAACUUAGAUGGAAGUCUGGCCAAGUACAAGGCCAGAUUAGUUACUAAGGGUUUUCAACAAAUUGCAGGGGUAAAUUACUUUGAAACUUUCAGUCCAGUGGUAAAAUUAGCUACUGUUAUAGUAGUGAUUAGUUUGGCUGUUAUGAAUCAGUGGCAAAAUCAGGCAGGUAGAUGUUAAUAAUGCCUUUCUUAAUGGGGAGUUAACAAAGAAGUUUUUAUGGAUCAGCCAGCAGGUUUGUUGACAGUCAAAAACCAAACUUUGUGUGUAAACUCCAUAAGUGGCCUCAAGCAAGCUCCACGAGCUUGGUAUGAAAAGUUAAGAAGUUGUUUGUUACAGUGGGACUUUGAAAACUCAAGAGCUGACACUUCUCUGUUCAUCAAGAAAACCAGCUCAUAUAUGAUAUUGGUACUGAUUUAUGUUGAUGACAUCUUAAUCACAGGACCAGAUAGUGCAGAACUAGAAUCUUUCAUUGCCAAAUUUAAUGCAGUUUUUGCACUAAAGGAUUUGGGUACUCUCUCUUAUUUUCUGGGCAUAGAAGUCUUAUAUGGUGCAGAUUGCAUUUAUAUGUCUCAAAGGAAAUACAUAAGAGAUCUAUUGACUAAGGUUCAGUUGCUUGAGUGUAAAGAGAUUGACACACCUUUGAGUACUGGAAUUAAGCUGCAAAAGGAAGCUCAAGGAUAUCUAGGCCAAUAUAUUGCUGAUGCUACACAUUACAGGAGCAUUGUAGGAGGGAUGCAAUAUUUGGUUUUAACAAGGCCAGAAAUUGCCUUUGCUGUAAACAAGUUAAGUCAGUAUGUUUCAAGUCCUACAAUGCAACAUCUUAUAGCCUGUAAGAGAGUGCUUAGAUACUUAAAGUCUACUCAAGAUUAUGGACUUAAGUUUGUUCAAAAUGGAGAAAUGAAGAUUACUGGAUUCACUGAUGCAGACUGAGCUUGUGAUUUAGAUGAUCGAAAAUCUGUUGGAGCCUAUUGCAUCUACUUAGGUAAUAAUUUGAUUUCAUGGUCAUCCAAGAAGCAAUCAGUCAUUGCUAGGUCUAGUGCUGAGAGUGAGUACAGGGCCUUAGCUUCAGCUAGUGCAGAGAUCAGCUGGUUACAAUAUUUAUUUUCUGAAAUUGGUUUGUGUUGUUCAGAGAUACCUACUGUCUGGUGUGACAAUACCAGUGCCACUGAGCUUAGCUCAUAAUCCUGUUUUCCAUUCUAGAACUAAACACAUCGAGCUUGACUUACACUUCAUCGGAAACAAAGUGAUUGCAGGGGAGUUAAAAAUUCAGUACAUUCCCAGUGAAGAACAGAUUGCUGAUAUCAUGACAAAACCUCUUUCGUUUGUUCAUUUUAACUAUCUGAGAUCAAAACUCAAUGUGCAGCCUUACCCCUUGAGUUUGAGGGGGGCUGUUAAGGAAGUCCAAUAUGCUGAGCUCACAGAGAGUAGGAGUAAGAAGGAGAAGAAGCUUCAGUCUCAGUCAGUCAAACAUUUCAGCAAUGCCAGCUCAUCAGAGUUAGUUAAGCAAGUUGCCAGAUCAGCACAAGAUGGUUAAGCUUAUUAUCAGUCAUUUCGUAUGUGUGUGUAACUGAAUGUAAUUAGCUUAAGCUGUAAUCUUGUGCGUGUAUAUAAGUUUAGUUGAUUCAAUUGUAAAGGUUAAGAAAAAUCAAUAAGAAAUAAAGUGAUAUUCUCUCUGAAAAUAAUUUUCCUCAGAAACAAACAACUUCAUUUUCUCUUUCAAAAUGCAACACACAUACCACAAGAUAUAAUUAUCAACAGGAUCUCCCUAAGUUACAUGCAUGUAACUUAGCAUUAGCCUUAUCAACAUGAAUCUUUUGCCGCCACAUGCAGCCCAAAACUGUUUAUGGCCAUAAAGAACGGGAUAAUCAGAAAUCAUUAACAACGAGAGAAAUCAUUUUAAUCGCAGCCAAACAUACACACUAAGAAAAUCUAAAAUUUAAUUUCUCCCAAUGAAUGUGCCUCUUCACAGCAAUUGCACUAGCUAAUCCCAGCAGCCUGCGUCAUGGAGCUUCUCCCAAUGAGUGAGUGAGCCUUCAACAAUUAUCACUUAGCUCAAACUAAAAUGAAAUUAUUGUGGACAUCUGAAUUAAAAAUACAUGUAAAAGCAGUUUUCUCAAAGCAAGGUCAAGAUAAGAGAUUAACUCUGCUCCUUAUUUACAUUAAAAAUAACAAACAAUGAAAAACAAAGCUAGAGAAGAACUUACCUGUGCAUUGAGACCAUGUGGGGAAUGUGAGAUGUCUUCUUAUAUUUGUUUUGAGAAACUCCAUCUUCUUCUGAAAGUUCUGACAGUUCUGACAGUUCCCUAAACCCAGGCCAAUACAAUUGCAACAGAAACUGCAUGCAUUAAGCAGCAUCUGAUCAUCUCCUGUUAUUUCAAGAUAAUAAUAACUUAAUUGCAACACUGCAUGCUUCAACCAUUAACCUUUUCAACUUCAACACUUCUUUUGUCCCCCUCCCGAUGCCCUUUUCACAAUUCUAUGAAUCAGAUAAAUCAGCCUUCUUCGCAAAACUAUGAAAAACUUUUCACCGUGUUCCACACAUUCCGGGAUUAGUAUUGAUAACAAACAUUUGAUGAAGACCCUGCCAAUUAAAAUUUCGGUCCCCAUGUAGCAGAAUUUCUUAUUUUUCCUUUGUACACAAAUGCAGACACUUACGCAAAUUAGGAUUUCUUUUGACCCUGCAAGUUACAAUUUCAGUCCCCAUGUAAUAGAAACAUUUUGUACACAUAUUUAUAGCAAACUAAUAUUUCAUACCUCACAAUAUUUAUCAUAACCAUCAAUCUUUAGAAACCACAUGCAGACUUUUUAACUGUUUAUGGCCCAAAAUAACAGGAAAAUUAGAACAGAUUUUUAAGAAUGAGCCACUACAUAUUUCAAUGGCAACUAAAAUUACACAUCUUGGAAAUCUAAAACUCAAGUACUCAGAAUGAAUGUGCCUCUUCACAGCAAUUAAACAAGCUGGGAACUUUAGUGCAAAUGCUUUUUCAUAAUCUUCAAUUGCAUAAGUCAGUAAGAAUCAAUCUUUCUUAAUCUUUCAAUUCACACAUGAGAGCCUGGUAACACAAGGAAACACUGUAAGUGAAUUGUCAACUCUGACAUAUUUUGGGUAAAAACUAUCAACUGUAGUUAUCCGCAUAACAUAUAGUGUCAACACCAAAUUCCUUCCUGAUUCGUGGAAGCAUUUCAGCCCACAGACGGUUUGGUUUGUCAAUAUAUAUCAAGCUUUGUAGCUUUUAAGAAACUGACAGGUGAAAGACCUGGAAUUUUCGAUAGCAACUCAGGAUUCUAUAUUUAAACUAUGAUGUUUGAUAACUUGCUGAUACAAAAGACAUUGCCCCAAGCACUUUUUUACAGGAGCUAAACUCAAGCAAGUCACUUCCAUUUGUUGCAGUUUUAACGCAGAAAGAAAAGGGAGAAAAAAAUCUGCAAGAUACCGCAUGUUCGCAGAAGCAGAGUUGAAUAAUUACAAAAUUACAUUCUUGAUUGCACAGAAAUGAUUACAAAAUUACUUUCCAAUUUCAUAAGGUAGCUUAAUGCCCUUUUAAGAAUAUCUACACCAGCCUGACAAUUAUUCAUGGAAAUUCAAAUUCAAAAUCAUGUUCCUAUGAGAGAUGAAAUGUAAUGAGCGACUUGGCCACUAUAUAUGCAUUUAUCAUCUUCAAUUUGCUCAUCUUUGUCUAGAGUAUUGCUUCUGCGUUAACUUAAUUAGCGUGCAAGCCACCUGAAAAUGGUUUUAAAUUAUGAGAAAGAGUCUGAAUUCGAAAGAAUCAAUCAAAUAUGAUGACAGAAAACACAAAAGUAAAAUAACCAAAAGAAGUAGAAAUAUACUUUUGUUAGAUUUAGAGCAUAAUUCUUCUGUCAAGUUCUUUUCCAUUAGCCUUGUUUCUGUGUGUGCUCAAACGCAAUUCCUCAACGCUCAAGAUAGUUCCUGCGGACCUGAAAAACUAGUUGUGGCCAUAAGGAACUUGAAAAUUAGAAAAGAUUCAGAAUGAGUGACUAAAUAUUUUAAUCAAAACUAAUUAAACCUACACUCCCUGAAAAUCUGAAACUGAAUUACUCAAAUGAAUAUGCCUCUUCACAGCAAUUGGUUGAAACUUUACUGCAAAGACUUUUUGAAACCCUUGAAGAUGAUACUCUACCUGAUAACACAAGGAAACACAAUCAAUAUAAGAAGAUGAUUUUACAAACAAAUGAAAGCUUGCAGUUAUUGGGAGAGCUCUACUCAAAUUUAAUGAGAUAUCUCUCAGGAGGGAGAGCUCUAAUAAUAUAUAAAGCCAAAAAUCUGAAAAUGUCUAACACUCAUCAAAUUGGCUUGUGAAGAAUUAAUCUUCCUUGCCAUCAUACAUGCCAGGUGUGGUGAACAAUCUUCAUUCUGACAUUUGCCUUAAUAAGCUGCUUAGUAUCCUUAACCUGAUAACAUACACAAACAAGAACAACUUUACUAAAGUUUAUUCUUUAAAGGCAAAACAGUAAAGAAGAUGAUAUAUGCUGAUACAAAAAAUUGACCUGAGUUAUCCUGAUGUCAAGAAUCACAGAACCUCAUGUGGGCAAAAUCAUCGCAAUACAAGAUGCUGAAUUCAAGCAACAUCUUAUCACCUGUAAUUUAAUUAAGACAAUAACUUUCCUCAACUAUUAUCCUUCUCAAUUUCAAUGUAUUAUUGGCAACUAAAUUCAUAGGGGACGUAGCUAAUUAAAUGCCCUUUUAACAAUAUCUUCCCCACCUAACAAUUAUUUGGAAAAUCUAAAUGACAAUCAUGCAUUGAUGGCAUAAAAAAUUGGCCACAAAGCUGCCUACAAAAAGGCUUUAAAUUCUUAAUGAGACAACGUAUUCGAACAAAUAUGGUGAAUGAAGAGACAAAGGCAUAACACCUCAAGAAGUAAAGCUCUGUUUCUGUAUGUGCUCAAACCAAUGGAAACCCAUGGAAAUGAAUUUCUACUAAUUAGACAUGUCAGCCAAAACAGGUACUCUGUACAAGCAAAGUAAAAGAGAGUUACAAAAAAAUUUUAAGAUAAUUAAACUUUCAGUCACCAUAUAAUUAAUAGAAAACUUUGUACACAAUGAUUUAUUGGAGAUUAAGAUUGUAUACCUAAGUUUUAAUUGCAAACUAAAUAUACACAACAUGAUAUUAGCAUUAGAAGACCGCACCAAAACGUACCGAAUUAAAUGUACAUCUUCACGGCCAUUGUACCAGCCUAAUCCUUGAUUACACCAAUGUUCUCCAUAGGGUCUUCAAAGUCAACCUAAAAAUAAAAUGAAAAUGCAAUGCAUUAUUAUUAGGGAUCUAGUGCUUGAGCUUGCUUUGACAUCAUGGUAUUAGCAAAUUCUGAUAUAGCCAAAAUGGUGAAUAAGAUGACGUACUUGAUAAGAAAAACCUGAUUUAACAAAUAAUUAAGGAGCAGGUAACAAUCACAGAAUCUCAUCAUGUGGGGAACGCCUUGGCAACAGAAGAUGGUGCUUUCAUUCAAGCAAUAGCAACUUUCCAAUUUCAUAAGGUAGUUUAAUGGCCCUUUUAAGAACAUCUGCACCAGCCUAAUAAUUAUUCAUGGAAAUUAAUAAUCAGAAUCAUGUUAGAUUGAGAGAUGAAACAUAAUAAGCGAUUUGGCCACCAUAUAUGCAUUUAUCACCUUCAAUUUGCUCAUCUUUGUCUAGAGUAUUGCUUCUGCAUUAACUUAAUUAGCUUGCAAGCCACCUGAACAUGGUUUUAAAUGAAGUGUAAGAGCUCGAAUUCGAACGAAUUAAUCAAAUAUGCUGACAGGAGAAACAAAAGUAAAAUAACCACAAGAAGUAGAAAUAUACUUUUGUUAUAUUCAGAGCAUCUUCUAGUGUCAAGUAAAAUAAACGCAAUGGCUCAAGGGUCAAGAUAAUUUUAUGACCAUCAAUCUUUUUGCAGCCACAUGCAGACUUGAAAAACUGGUCGUGGCACUAGGGAACUUGAAAAUUAGAAAAGAUUCAGAAUGAUUGACUAAAUAUUAUAAUCGAAACUAAUUAAACAUACAUGCCUAGAAAAUCUGAAACUGAAUUUCUCAAAUGUAUAUGCCUCUUCGCAGCAAUUGCUUGUGGUGGAAACUUUACUGCAAAGACUUUCUCAAACCCUUGAAGAUCACACUCUACCUGAUAACAAAGAAAGAGUCAAUAUACGAAGAUGAUUUUACUAACAAGUGAGAGCUUACACAUACUGGAAGGAUAAUGAUUACUCAUAACCCAAAUCCCCAAUACUCCCUAAUAUCUCACUCAAGAGAGUUCGAGCUCCCAGAAUUCACUACUGUGAAACUCUCACAACAAAAUUCUCUUCAAAGAUUCUCUACUCAAAUUUGAUGAUGAUGUCCCUCGAAAGGAGGCAAAAAAUCUAACACUGAUCAAAUUGGCUUGUGAACAAUUAAUCUUCCUGGCCAUCAUGCAUACCAGGUGUGGUGAGCAAUCUUCAUUCUGACAUUUGCCUUAAUAAGCGGCUUAGUAUCCUUAACCUGAUAACUUACACAAACAAAAACAACUUGAUUAAAGUUUAAUAUUUAGAGGCAGAACAGUAAAGAAGAUGAUAUAUAUUGAUACUAAAAUUUGACCUGUGUUAUCCUGACGUCAAGAAUCACAGCAUCUCAUGUGGGCAGAAUCUUCGCAGUACAAGAUGCUUGCAAAAUUGAAGCCGCAUCUUAUCACCUGUAAUUUAAUUAAGACAAUAACUUUCCCCAACCAUUUCAAUGCAUUAUUGCCAACUAAAUUCAGAGGGUGCUAAUUAAAUAGCCUUUGAACAAUAUAUUCUUAUUCUUCUCCAAUCUAACAAUUAUUUGGAAAAUCUAAAUGACAAUCAUGCAUCGAUGGCAUCAAAAUUUGGCUACAAAGCAGCCUGGAAAAGGCUUUACUCUCUGAAUGAGAGCAUGAAUUCGAAACAAAUAUCAUGAAUGAAGAAACAAAGGCAUAAUACCACAAAAAGUAAAACUUUUUCCCAGGGCUCUCUGUUUCUGUUUGAACUAAAACCAAUGGAAACCGAUCGAAAUGAAUUUCUAGGAAUUUGACAUAUUAGCCAAAACAGGUGCUCUGUACAAGCAAAGUAAAACAGGGUUACAAAAAAUUUUAAGAUUGAUAUGAUAAUUAAAAUUUCAGUCACCAUAUAAUUAAUAGAAAACUUUGGACACAAUGAUUUAUUGCAUAUUAAGAUUGCUAUAUAAAAUAUAAUAUUAGCAUUAGGAGACCGCACCAAAGCAUACCGAAUUGAAUGUGCCUUUUCACAGCCAUUUUACAAGCUUUGAAGCUUUACCACAAAUGCUUUUUCCAACCCGUGAACAUGAUGCACCCGAGAGAUGCAAGCUAUGAAAUUGUUACUACAGCAAGCCAUUUUACAAGGAAGUUUAUGAAAAUAUGCCUUUGGAAACCCGUCUUCAGGAAUGAAUUCAUCCGCAAUAACAAUUUUCAAGACGUAUCAACUGCUUCAAGCUCAUCCAAUAGAGCAGAUCCCGCCUGACGAACAAGGAGGGCUAUUCUGAUUUUUUCUUGAAUCCCUGGUGAACAUAAUUAAACUCGUAUGAAAUAAAACAAAGUGGGCUAAUGUACUACUAAAAACAAUUACACAAUUACUUUAAAGAAUUAAUGUCACAUAAAUUAUAUAUAAAAAAAUACGAUUAUCAUUAUACAAGAUAAAAUUGAUGAUUUAGUUUUCAACAUUUCUGCAAAUGUAUCACAGAGAUUUUGUCUCUCAGGAAGUUGCACAUAACAAAUUUUCGUGCAUUAAAAAAUAAAAUAUAUUAGGAUUUUCUAUGAUGUUGUAUGAAAUUUUACAAAAGACUACAUUUUUUUUUUAAAGAAAAUAUAGAAAUUUCAUCAGACUACACUUGUUUUUUUUAUUUAAUCUUUAGAAAACAAGUUUAACUGAUUUGAUAACUAGGAAGUUUAAAUUUUAAAUAAUUAAAAUUAAAAUAUUAUCCUAACUAACUUUUAAUUUUUUGAACUAUUGAUUAAAUCUAACAGUAAAUAUUUAUACCAUGAUUGAUUUUAUAAUUUUUAUAACAAUAUCAUAAAGUGACCUAUUAAAUUAAUGGUUCAAGUAAAUAAUUGAAUUCAAUACGCAAAUCAAAAUAUUAGAAAAUAUUAUAUAUUCCCAUCAGACAUUGGCAAUAUACAGAAUUUUAAUUCAAAAUAUAAAUAUUUUUAUUAAUUUCAUUGCAAGCAACAACAGGGUAAAUCAGAGGAGGAGAAAUUACCGUCGGGUGACAUCUGGAUGUGGGGAAUGUGAGAUAUCUUAUGCCGUGACAUCUGGAUGUGGGGAAUGUGAGAUAUCUUAUGCCUGUCUUCUCCUUUCCCCUCUCUAUAACGGUUUUCCAGAAUGGGACAUCCCCAAAUUUUCAAUUCCUGCAGUGCCGUCGUCUGAAGAAGGUAAUCCGGCAGCGCCUUCAAUUUGGGGCAAGACUCAAUCGACAAGAGAGAAAGACGUGGCAUGACGGAGAUGUUUUCCUUCCUCGUAAUCCUGUAAUUCCACUCUUCCAGUUCUGUCAUGACGCUAAUUUCGAGUGAUUUCAAAUUGGGGAAGGCAAUAACUGAUGAUGACGAUGAAGAUGAAGAUGGAUCAUCCUCAGUGCUUUCUUCUAUUCCCAAAAACUCAUUACCCACUCUUUUUACACUUUUCAAAUUGUAUAGGGUGAGUUUUUCCAGAGGUAAUUUUCCCAAAGGAGGCAAAUGCUCACAGUCAAUGCACGAGAGAAGUCUUAAUUCGCUUAGAUUGGUUAGUGAAGUCAACCAUUUGGGAAAAAUGUUGCCUCCGUAGAAUCUAAUCCUUAACUCCUCUACAUUCAAAGGCGGUUGUAAGGCUUCAAGAAGUUGUUCAUCUUUCUCAUUCUUCCUCCUCCCUUCUUCGCCUUCCCCAUCUACAACUCUACCAAACUGAAGACCCAAACGAAGGAGGUUUUUCUUAUUGUAAAGUUGUAACCUCUCAGCCUCAUCUACAUGCGAUACAUUACUUAGCCCUUGUACUCUACAUUCACGAAGGAGUUGAAGAUUUUUCAGAGAUUCAAGCCUACACGUGCUGCCACCAUCAACACCUCCACCCACAACAAACUUUUCUAAUGUUCGAAGACUGGUUAAUUUGGAAAUCCCUAUUGGCAUGUACUUCAACGAACGAGUUUCACCAUUCAGUAAACUCCUCAUGUUCAUUAACUUCCCAAUCCCCUCUGGCAAUUCUCUAAGAUUUCGGCACAGCCUAAUAUCUAGCUUUUGUAAAUUAUAUAAUUCACACAAAGUCUCAGGUAGUCUCUCUAUGACUAAUUCAGACAAAUUAAGAUAUUUUAAAUGUAUCAAUUUUCCAACAUUUUCUGGAAUUUCUCUAAUCCAAUUUGCCUCAGGAUGCGAACCUAAAAGGUAAUAUUGCCUUAUAACUAAUGCCCUUAAACAUGCCAAUUUACUAAAUAACUCCGAAAGGAUGCUAUUAUUAAGAGAUGGGUUGAAAAGAUUUUCAUCAUAAAUUAAUAGGGUAUGCAAUCUAUUAAGUCCAUGAAUGGACAUAGGAAAUGAAGUGCCUCCUUGAAAAUUUAACCCUAAGUGACGGACUUUGUCACCAAAAGAGUUUAUGACUGAUUCCUUGGUACCAUUAAUUUCUAGCCACAAACAUUCUUUGCUACUUACAAAUUGAGCAAAAUCAUGUACGAUGUCAUGCAUCUUGCAACUCAUAAUAUCAUCGUCAUUUUUCUGAAAUUCUUGAAAGAAAGAGCGUGUAGUUAAGAUGUUGAAAUACUCUUCUCCAAUCAUCUCCAUUUCUUCGUCUUCAUCUGCAUUAAGGUAACCUUGAGCCAUCCAUAGAUUAAUCAAUUCCCUUUUGUUCAUAUUGUAGUCUUUUGGAAAGACAGCACAAUAUGAGAAGCACCGUUUUACCAUAGAAUUGGAGGGCAAAUCAUUAUAACUCAACAACAAAGGAGCCAAAAUACCUUGUCCAAUCUCUUCUACUUUCCACAUUUCACUCUCUAAAAUUCUUUGCCACUCUUUUACUGUACUUUUAGAGCGCAAGAGAUUCCCUAUUACCUUUGCAGCAAGAGGCAGGCCUUUGCACUUACAUGCAAUUUUUCGCCCGAUUGGUUCUAAUUUUUCACAAUCCUCAAAGGACCUACGUAGAAAUGCUAUCUGCUUAAACAGUAACCAACAUUCCCCUUCACCCAACUCCUUGACAGGGAUAAUAUCUAUUGAUCCCAACUGCAGUGCAACUGACCUAUCACGUGUGGUAAUUAGAAUUUUACUUUCAUGGUGGCCAUUCUUUAGACAAGAAAAGAAUGGGUCCCAUUUUUUGUAAUCUCCAUCCCACACAUCAUCUAAAACAAGAAAAAUUUUCUUCCCUGUAAUAUAUUCCUGAAUCUGUUUCAUAAGAGAUUCGAAUUCGCUUAAACCAGAAGCUGACACGCCUAGACCUUCAAUGAUUGCUUUGGCGACCCUAAUCUCCUCAAAAGUGUAUGAUACACACACCCAUAUAACUUUGCCAAAAUUUCUUUUCACCUCAUCAUUAUUAUACGCCAAUUGUGCAAGAGUGGUUUUACCUAUACCCCCCAACCCAACUAGUGAAAUGACAUGAAGGCCUUUUUGUUGUUCACUACUUUCACACAACAACUUGCUUAAGAGCUCAUUUUUCUCCUCAACUCUACCGCAAACCUCUCCCUCAUCAAUCAAGGAGAUGGUUCGCACUCGCUCUGGAUUCCUAACAUUGUUACUCACAUUCUCAACAAAAUUAAACCUAUCUUUUCGAGUGGCAAUUUCAUCUAGCCUUUUACUGAUUUCUCUAAUCUUGACAGCAAUAUGAUGACGAAGACUGAGUUGUUUGAAACCACCAAAGCAGUUUGAGGCAGCAGGAAAGAAGGAACAUACCUUCGUCAAAAAAGUAACAAAAGCACUGUCGUUAUCAUCAUCAUCAUCAUCAUCGCCUCCCUCAUCAAGCUGCAAUUUCCGUGUUUCAGUGAUCCACUCGUCCAACACAUCUUCCAUGUCGUAGGAUGCGUCUCUGAGCUGAUCCAGCCAAAAAGUAACAGC